Molecule: long non-coding RNA, 53107 nt
Filed under: Triticum aestivum (bread wheat)
Lineage: Eukaryota; Viridiplantae; Streptophyta; Magnoliopsida; Poales; Poaceae
Description: long non-coding RNA (TAES_LNC018391)
Source: RNAcentral
UUUACCAAAGGUAUCUUCUUUAGAAUGAAUGCUUUUACGUAGAGACAUAGUUCUGUUAGAAUGCAUGAUUAUACUUCAUGUAGUGGUAGAGAUACCUUUUUAGUUUAAUGUAUGUACAUAAAAGCUGAAACUCUAAAAAGAAUGCCAUUUUAUAAAAAAUAUAUCAGAAAGCCCCAAUUCAUUGGAUGUAGAAGUCUGACAAGUGACAAAGUGAAGUCCACGUAGUCAUAUUCAAUAUAUCAGCUGGAUUGGUAAGUCUGGCUGUUACUAUGUUAACAAAAGAAGUUGUAAAUAUAAACAUCUAAACAGAAGGUGCUAAUUUUAGGUUGCACUGGGCAUGAGCCUGUGUUGGUCUUUCUUAUUGGAGUGGUCCCUAAAUCUGUGUAUCUUCUGUUGGACUGCAGCAACAGUUGCAACUAUGCCGUAAUAAUUUAUACAACAUGCCAUCUUGCCUAAACAAUGAAAAUGAAUUGCUGCAGCCUCCUGUGUCACCUACUUCCUGUAUGAAACAAUGAAACAGAUGAGCUUACUUCUGUGCACUUUAUUUUAGUGUGCAAGGUUGAUGCGCUUUAAAUUUUAAUUCUGCUAGAUGAAACAUCUGAUUUUUUGACUUUGUUUGAACACUAGAUUUUAUUUAAUUCCGCUUGUCUUACGCCGUGUGUACAAUGCAAUAUGCUUAGAGUGGUGCUUGUAAAAAUAAACAUGUUUAAGCUUAAGUACCGGCGCUUGUUUCCAUAGCAGAGGUGCCUAACUAAGCAUUUGUGCUAUACAAAUAAGCACUGGUCCUUGAGGACAAACCGGUUUGUUUUCCCUGUCCCAGCUUUUUUAAUUAUCUUCAUAGUUAAGGGCAAGACAGCAUGUCUAGGAAGGGUAAAUAAUACUAGGUAAUAUUCCUAGUUUCAGUGUCAUUAAUCUAGUGAUCUUUUAUCAAAGCAGGGAAACUAAAGGAAGUGUCUAGCAUGAUGAGAUUGUCAUAUAUGGACUGUCAGUUUGCACACCAAGGACCACUCCAAAUAGUACUAGCAUUGCCAUUACGGAUUUGAAUAGAGCAGAUUUAGGGGUACUAGCAUUGCUAAUUUUAGGCUGCACUGGAACUAUCUACAGUCCAUGUGUUGAAAAUGCAGUGACAUUCAGAUCACUGUUGUGCAAAAAUUCAGUUAACACACUGUCAAAAAAAUUCAGUUACAAACAUACAUUUAGUUUGAAUUAAUCUCUCAUAUUCCCUUCACAUUGCUAACCAUAUGGCCAAAAUAUUGUCCCUAGACAUCUCCUGGUCCUACCCAAGAUAAACCCUAGUUACAAAAAUGCAGUGCGAAAAUUCAGUUAACACACUGUCAAUACAUUCAGUUUGAAUUAUUUCUCAUGGCGAUCCUCAACGAAAUCUUAUGACAGAACUACCAACUUUAUAAACCCAAGAUAAACCCUAGGAAGAAUUAGAGAGGGAGAGGUCAAGGAGGGAGGAGCAGAGAGGGAGAGGUGGGAAAUGGAGGCGGGGGUGAUUUGGAUGGGGUACCUGCGGGCGUAGAAGACGGGGGCGUCGUCGGGGACGAAGACGUCGACGCUGUGGAUGUUGGUGGUGGUGCAACAAGGUCCGGGAGGCGACGAGGUCCGGGUGGUGGUGGUGCUCCGAGGAGACGAGGAGAGCGGCGCCGAGGAGACGAGGACGACGGGGCGGCGGGGCGGCGGCGUCGGGAGAGGAGAGGGCGGCGUCGGGGCGUCGCGGCGGAGACGAGGACGACGGGGCGGCGUCGAGGCGGCGGGGCAGCGGCGUCGGGAGAGGAGAGGGGAAGGGGAUCGAGGGCGAGGGCGAGGGAGAGAGAGGGGAUAGGUUUGGGCCGGGGAUAGGAGAGGGGAAGGGGAUCGAGGGCGAGGGCACAAUACUAAUGGCGCACCACCCCUCGGUGCGCCAUAAGUACAUCCAUACUAAUGGCGCACCUCACCCUGGUGCGCCAUUAGUAUUUUUUUUUUGAUUUCUGCUCGAGCCAACAGGUUAUCUUCCACCUGACCUGAUCCACACCAAGUUCCCUCUACUAGCUCGACUGGUCAGCAGCUAGUUCUCACACUAGGAGGUCCUGGGUUUGAUUCCCAGGCUCCACAAUUUUUUUUAUGCAUUUAAAAUGCUGUUUGAUAUUUAUUUGUGUUUAAAUAUGUUCAAACUUGUUUAAAUCAUAACAUUAAUAUUUUUUUAUAAGACAGUAAUAAUUUUUUUAAAAAUAUCAUCAAACAGUAAUGCCGGUGGAGCGGGGGAGGGUGCGCGGGGUGCGGGGGGCCGGUGGACCGGGGGGUGCUCGGCGGCGAGGGGGACCGGAUCUGGCGAGGUGGGAUAGCGAUCGAGAUGGAGGGGAUCGAGAUCGAGUGUCCAUGAAAUUUAAAAAUAUUCAUGAUAGUUCAAAAAGUGCCCAUGAAAUACAAUCGAGAAAUGAAGGCUACGAUUUAAAUACAAUCGAUCUUAGCUAGCUAUCUGUUCACAAUCUUCUUGCCCUUCUUUUUCGCAAAUGGAGUUCUUCUGUGGAACGGACGUCCUUUAGGUAGGGUGGUCCUGCUUCUUCUUGUGGUGUAUGCUGCUACUUCAUCAUCGUCGUCAUGUUCGAUUCUCGGGUCGCCGUACUUGUCGAAGUCUUGCUCAUUGGCAACUCCAUCCAUUCCGAUGAUCUUCCUUUUGCCUCUCCUCACGACAACACGACUGGGCUUUGACGGGUCGGUAAUGAAGAAGCAUUGGUCCACUUGGGAAGCCAGUACCCAUGGCUCAUUUUUCGCGGUGACGUUUGCACCUGCGGUCUUGGAUUUGGCUUCGGGUAUAACCAUGGUGGUGAAAUACCGGUCUUCUUUUAGGACGCUCUUGGCCCAUCUGACACGGAACAUCGGGACCUUCUCUCCAGCGUAGCUCAGCUCCCAGAUCUCCUCGAUCCUUCCGUACUAUCUGUCCUUGUCGUUACCGGUGUAGGAUUCCAUCGUUACCCCGGAGUUUUGAUAACCAUCGCUCUUCAUGUCCUUGGCCUCGGUGUAGAAUGUGUAGCCGUUGAUAUCGUACGCCUCAUAGGUCAUCAGGUUGUGCUCGGCGCCCUGUGACAAGGCGAAUAUGAGUUGUUCUUCCGCGGAAGAAUCCUCAUGUAAAGGGUACGACAGAAGCUUCUGCUUGAACCAACGCGUGAAACUUGAGUUGUGCUCUUUGAGUAUAUCUCCGUCCGUCCUCUGUUGGCCUCGGUCAUUGUACGUCUUCUUAAUAAAGGUUUUGUGCUCUACCACCCAAGGAUCGACCACGUCUAUGUGUUGUAGCGCGACUAGGUUUGCUCUUUCAAAGUCGGCGAGUCGACCCUCGAAGUCGACAUGCAUUUCGCGGCGACCCUCACGGUGACCCCAUCCAGCGAGCCUGCCGAGGUGCCUGUUGACGGGCAGACCAACGGGGUUCUCGAUGCCUAGAUAAUUCGUGCAGUAGGAGAUGCCCUCUUCGGUCAGAAAGCCCCUGGCUAUGCUUCCCUCUGGACGUGACAUGUUGCGAACGUAUCCUUUGAUGACACCAUUCAUCCUUUCGAACGGCAUCAUGCUGUGCAGGAACGUCGGCCCGAGUUGGAUGAUAUCGUCCACGAUAUGGACCAGCAGAUGCACCAUAACGUCGAAGAAUGCAGGCGGGAAGUACAUCUCAAGGUCGCAUAGUAUCACCACGAUCUCUUCCUGUAGCCUUCUGAGUUGCCUCACGCCAACAGACUUCCGAGAGAUGACAUCGAAAAAGUUGCAUAGGCCAAAUAGCGUUUCACGGACGUGCGCGUCCAUGAUCCCACGGAUUGCAACUGGAAGUAUCUGCGUCAUCAGCACGUGACAGUCGUGAGACUUCAUCCCGCUGAACUUCAGCUUCGCUAGGUCUAGGUAUCUGCUUAUCUUCCCCGCGUAACCGUAAGGAAGUUUUACUCCUACGAGGCAGGUGAAAAACUGCUCGAUCUCCUCCUGACUUAGAGUGAAGCACGCGGGAGGGUAGUCAUUUCCGGUCUUCUUGGCCUUUUUGCCUUUGCGACGACUUUCCGUGUCCUGCUUCGCCUCAUCAUCAUCAUCAUCAUCAUAUAUAGCGUGAAGCUCCUGCCUGAUGCCCAUUGAUUUCAAGUCUGCCCUUGCUUUCGGCCCAUCUUUGGUCCUCUCUGGCAUGUUGAGCAGGGUACCAAGCAGACUCUCGCACACGUUCUUCGUGAUAUGCAUGACAUCAAGGCUGUGAGGCACACGGUGGAUCUUCCAGUACGGCAAGUCCCAGAAAACAGACCUCGUUUUCCAUACCUUCAGCAGCGGCUCUGGCGCCUUUCGCUUCUUUCCCGGCUCUGGCGCCUUUUGCUUCUUUCCCGGCAGUGGGCAGUCUUUACAAUUUUUCAACAGCUCGUCUAUUUCCUCGCCGCUCCUCGUACGCGGGCGUCCUCGGGGUUCGGUUUCACCAUCGAAUAGAUCCUUGCGUUUUCUCCACGGGUCAUCGUCGCGAAGCCACCUUCGAUGUCCCAUGAACACGGUUUUCGAAGACCCGGGAUCUCUAUCUAGCUGGCGAUAUGUUGUGUCAUCCAUGCACCUGACGCAUCCAGAAAAUCCGUGGACCACCUGCCCCGCGACAUAUCCGUAACCGAGAUAGUCGUGCACCGUCGUGAGCAGCGCGGCUCUCAUAGGGAAAUAUUCUUUCUCUGCGGCGUCCCACGUAUUGGCUGGCGUUUUCCACAGCAUGUCAAGCUCCUCUUUCAGCAGCCCCAGAUACAGAUUGAUGCCGUUCCCUGGUUGUUUCGGUCCUUCAAUUAGCAUACUCAUGUGAAUGUACUUCCUCUUCAUGCACAACCAGGGGGGAAGGUUGUACAUCCACACAAACACAGGCCAGGUGCUAUGUGUGCUUCUCUGGCUGCCAAACGGAUUGACUCCAUCGGUGCUCGCGCCCAGCACGAUGUUCCUUGGAUCGUUCCCAAAUUCUAGGUCUUCGAAGUUCAACGCUUUCCACUGGCUCGCAUCCUUAGGGUGACUCGGCAUCUUGUCUUUUUUAUCUAUCUCCGGAUCAUUUGCGUCAUCUUCUCGCUUCUUCUCCUCCCUAUCCGCGUGCCAACGCAGGAGCUUUGCUACCUUAGGGUCCGCGAAAUACCGCUGCAGACGAGGAGUGAUCGGAAAGUACCACACCACUUUUCGAGGAGCUUUCUUCCUCUUCUUGUAUCGAGUGACGCCGCACACCGGACAUAUGGUAGACUCCGCGUGCUCAUCCCGAUAAAUGAUGCAAUUGUUCAUGCACACAUGGUAUUUCACGUGCGGUAAAUCCAGAGGACACACGAUUUUCUUCGCCUCCUCCAAACUGGUCGGGCACUUGUUCCCCUUGGGAAGACGUUCGUGCCAGAAUGACAUGUUCUCGUCGAAGCAUGCGUCGGUCAUUUUGUGUUUUACCUUCAUCUCCAGAGCCAUGAGCGUUACUUUCAGGCGGGUAUCCUCGGGCCUGCAUCCUUCAUACAAUGGAGUAACCGCGUCUAACUCAAGUUGAUCCAUCUUGGCUUUCUCUCGGGCGGCAGCUCUUGCGUUAUCCGUCUGCUUGAGAAGCAGCUCUUGAAUAUGAGGGUCCUGCACCCAGCCCAUCGAUGGUCCAGCGUCGUCUGCUCCGCUGGCAUCAUCAUCUUCAUGAUCAUGCCCGUUGUCUGCUCCGGCAUCUUCCUCAUCAUCAUGUCCUGCAUCUUCUACAUGAUGACUGUGUACAGCAUCACCGUCGUGAUCAUCUCCUGGGGAUUCUUCUUCUUCUCGCCCGCCCGAGCCGCGGUGGUUGUCUUGCUGCCCUUCCUCAUUUCUUGCCCGGCCCCCAUGGACGACUUCGUAGUCAUCUUCAUCACCUUGCCACCGAUAGCCAUCCAUGAAACCACGCAAGAGCAGGUGGUCCCGCACCUGCCCGGAUUCCGGGUCCGCAAUAAGGCUCUUCAGCUUGCAUCUUCGACACGGACAUCUUAUCUCCGUCUCGUUCUUUUGAAGCAUCUCGGCCUUCGCGGACCUCAAAAACCUAUUCACGAUGCCUUCGGUCAUCAUGCGGACCAUGGUCGCCUGCGGGGUAGAGCAAAACGAUAUUUUAGAACCAAGAAAAAAUUUGGCAUGACUUUCCCUAAAAAUAGGACCAAAAAGAAUGCUUAAUGCCAAAAUUCUCGCCGAAACGGAAAUGAAUCAACAUUCCGGCAAAAUAUUGGCAACUAUCGCAUUUCAAAUACCGGUACACCUCCAAACACAAACACAUAUGCAACACCACAAACAUAUGCAACACUACGAACAUACAUAGAUCUAGCUAGGCAAUAAAAGUGCAUGUGCACAUUGUUGUAGGGAGAACAACAUAAAUAUAGCUUCCCCCCUUACUUACCUAUCAAAACAAGGUAAUUUAACCACUUAAAUUGAAUGAAUCUAUGGUGGAAAUGAGGUGAAAAUGAGGAGGCACCCGAGACAAGGAGGAGGUGGAGAGAAUGAAGUGGGGAUAAAGUGAGUGUGGGUAGGAGAGGCUGUCCAAAAUAUCUUGUUGCUGCCCACUUACUAAUGGCGCACCAACUCUAAAUGCGCCAUUAGUAAUCCAGGUUACUAAUGGCGCACCUUCUUGUGGUGCGCCAUUAGUAGUUUUGCAAAAAAAAACAUACUAAUGGCGCACUAUUCCACAGUGCGCCAUUACUAGUUUAAACUAGUAAUGGCGCACGGUGGAAAAGUGCGCCAUUAGUAGUUUUGCAAAAAAAGGAAUAAAAAAUAUAAUAGAAAAAACAACAUUAGUGGCGCACUUUCCGACAGGUGCGCCAUUACUAGUUACAACUAGUAAUGGCGCACUGUGUCUGGAUGCGCCAUUAGUAUGUUUGGACAGGCGCACUAGUUAAAAAAAAAUUUGAUACUAAUGGCGCACCCUGGGCCAGGUGCGCCAUUAGUAGUUUCAACUCUAAUGGCGUAUCAGAAGGUGGUGCGCCAUUAGUAUAUACUAAUGGCGCACCGCUUGUCUGGUGCGCCAUUAGUGUCAAUCCCAUCUAUAGCCCUUUUUCUAGUAGUGAUGUACUCAUUGAAAAAACUUAUCAAGUGUCUUGAUCUAUCUCUAUAGAUCUUGAUGCUCAAUAUGUAAGCAGCUUCACCGAGGUCUUUCUUUGAAAAACUCCUUUCAAACACUCCUUUAUGCUUUGCAAAAUAAUUCUACAUUAUUUCCGAUCUACAAUAUGUCAUUCACAUAUACUUAUCAGAAAUGCUGUAGUGCUCCCACUCACUUUCUUGUAAAUACAGGCUUCACCGCAAGUCUAUAUAAAACUAUAUCCUUUGAUCAACUUAUCAAAGCGUAUAUUCCAACUCCGAGAUACUUGCACCAGUCCAUAGAUGGAUCGCUGGAGCUUGCAUAUUUUGUUAGCACCUUUAGGAUUGACAAAACCUUCUGAUUGCAUCAUAUACAACUCUUCUUUAAUAAAUCCAUUAAGGAAUGCAGUUUUGUUUAUCCAUUUGCCAUAUUUCAUAAAAUGCGGCAAUUGCUAACAUGAUUCAGACAGACUUAAGCAUAGAUACGAGUGAGAAACUCUCAUCGUAGUCAACACCUUGAACUUGUCGAAAAACCUUUUUGCGACAAUUCUAGCUUUGUAGAUAGUAACACUACUAUCAGUGUCCGUCUUCCUCUUGACGAUCCAUUUAUUCUCAAUUGCUUGCCGAUCAUCAGGCAAGUCAACCAAAGUCCAUACUUUGUUCUCAUACAUGGAUCUCAUCUCAGAUUUCAUGGCCUCAAGCCAUUUUGCGGAAUCUGGGCUCACCAUCGCUUCUUCAUAGUUCGUAGGUUCGUCAUGGUCUAGUAACAUAACCUCCAGAACAGGAUUACCGUACCACUCUGGUGCGGAUCUUACUCUGGUUUACCUACGAGGUUUGGUAGUAACUUCAUCUGAAGUUACAUGAUCAUCAUCAUUAACUUCCUCACUAAUUGGUGUAGAAGCACAGGAACAGAUUUCUGUGAUGAACUACUUUCCAGUAAGGGAGUAGGUACAGUUACCUCAUCAAGUUCUACUUUCCUCCCACUCACUUCUUUCGAGAGAAACUCCUUCUCUAGAAAGGAUCCAUUCUUAGCAACGAAUGUCUUGCCUUCGGAUCUGUGAUAGAAGGUGUACCCAACUGUCUCCUUUGGGUAUCCUAUGAAGACACAUUUCUCCGAUUUGGGUUUGAGUUUAUCAGGAUGAAACUUUUUCACAUAAGCAUCGCAACCCCAAAUUUUAAGAAAUGACAACUUUGGUUUCUUGCCAAACCACAGUUCAUAAGAUGUCUUCUCAAUGGAUUUAGAUGGUACCCUAUUUAACGUGAAUGCAGCUGUCUCUAAUGCAUAACCCCAAAACGAUAGUGGUAGAUCGGUAAGAGACAUCAUAUAUCGCACCAUAUCUAAUAAAGUACGGUUACGAUGUUCGGACACACCAUUACACUGUGGUGUUCCAGGUGGCGUGAGUAGUGAAACUAUUUCACAUUGUUUUAACUGAAGGCCAAACUCGUAACUCAAAUACUCUUCUCCACGAUUAGAUCGUAGAAACUUUAUUUUCUUGUUACGAUGAUUUUCCGCUUCACUCUGAAUGAACUUUUCAAAUGUUUCAGACUUCUGUUUCCUGAAGUAGAUAUACCCAUAUCUGCUCAAAUCAUCUGUGAAGGUCAGAAAAUAAUGAUACCUGCUACGAGCCUCAAUUUUCAUCGGACCACAUACAUCUGUAUGUAUGAUUUCCAACAAAUCUGUUGCUCUCUCCAUAGUUCCGGAGAACGGCGUUUUAGUCAUCUUGCCCAUGAGGCACGGUUUGCAAGCAUCAAGUGAUUCAUAAUCAAAUGAUUCCAGAAUCCCAUCAGUAUGGAGUUUCUUCAUGCGCUUUACACCAAUAUGAUCUAAACGGCAGUGCCACAAAUAAGUUGCACUAUCAUUAUUAACUUUGCAUCUUUUGGCUUCAUUAUUAUGAAUAUGUGUAUUACUACGAUCGAGAUCCAACAAACUAUUUUAUUGGGUGUAUGACCAUAGAAGGUUUUAUUCAUGUAAAAAGAAUAACAAUUAUUCUCUAAUUUAAAUGAAUAACCGUAUUGCAACAAACAUGAUCAAAUCAUAUUCAUGCUCAACGCAAACACCAAAUAACACUUAUUUAGUUUCAACACUAACCCCGAAAGUAUAGGGAGUGUGCGAUGAUGAUCAUAUCAAUCUUGGAACUACUUCCAACACACAUCGUCACCUCGCCUUUUACUAGUCUUUGUUUAUUCUGCAACUCUUGUUUCGAGUUACUACUCUUAGCAACUGAACCAGUAUCAAAUACUGAGGGGUUGCUAUAAACACUAGUAAAGUACACAUCAAUAACAUGUAUAUCCAAUAUACCUUUGUUCACUUUGCCAUCCUCCUUAUCCACCAAAUACUUGGGGUAGUUCCGCUUCCAGUGACCAGUCCCUUUGCAGUAGAAGCACUUAGUCUCAGGCUUAGGACCAGACUUAGGCUUCUUCACUUGAGCAGCAACUUGCUUGCCGUUCUUCUUGAAGUUCCCCUUCUUCCCUUUGCCCUUUUCUUGAAACUAGUGGUCUCGUCAACCAUCAACACUUGAUGUUUUUCUUGAUUUCUACCUUCGUCGAUUUCAGCAUCACGAAGAGCUCGGGAAUUACUUUUGUCAUCCCUUGCAUACUGUAGUUCAUCACGAAGUUCUACUAACUUGGUGAUGGUGACUAGAGAAUUCUGUCAAUCACUAUUUUAUCUGGAAGAUUAACUCCCACUUGAUUCAAGCGAUUGUAGUACCCAGACAAUCUGAGCACAUGCUCACUAGUUGAGCGAUUCUCCUCCAUCUUUUAGCUAUAGAACUUGUUGGAGACUUCAUAUCUCUCAACUCGGGUAUUUGCUUGAAAUAUUAACUUCAACUCCUGGAACAUCUCAUAUGGUCCAUGACGUUCAAAACGUCUUUGAAGUCCCGAUUCUAAGCCAUUUAAGCAUGGUGCACCAACCUGGAGUUUAGGGAAGAGCAUGGCAGCCCACAUCACUAUGGGACACAUUGGAGAAGUCUACCACAGGGAGCUUAAGGAUACUAUUUAUCAGAUUUGUGGACGCCGAGAUGAGCAAUGGGAGAUGAUCAGCACCAAGAAGGAUGGAUCAAUUGCAGCUUUCAUCCAGGAGCAAAACCAACACAUUCGUCGCCAGGAGAACCAGAUGUGCGCAGACAUGAUAGAUCUGAAGAAGGCAUUGACCAAGAUCACGGAGUUGGAGGAAGAACUCAAGGCUACACGCGAGGAUUAUAUGGAGGAAAUCGUCGCACUGGUGGAGAAGAAUGACGACCUGAUAAAGAAGAUCGGAGUAUUCAUGGGAGACCCAGCACUAGAGGAGAAGAUGAUGAUUGCACUUGCCCGGAUAACUACAUCAUCAUCGACGACACCGACUCAGACCCUAGUGAAGAUGAUUUUGUUGAUGAAGAUGGAGCAGAUAUCAUGGAGUCUUCGACCGAUCAAAAUUUCUAGUAGACCACCAUAAUCAGUAGUAGUAUUCCCCCAUGUAUAUAGUAUAGUCCGAGCACUUUGUAACAAUAGUUAGAUCGAUUGUAUGCCUUGUUUGAAUUGAUUGAGUGAUAUUGAUUGUGUUUGUCUCAUGAGCAUAUGGGUAGUGCUUUCUCUCUAGACCUCAUUCUAUUCUAAAUUCUCAUGUUUUCUAAACCUAUCAGAUGCCUCCGAGACGCGACACCGGAUUUGUUUUCCUACCGGAGAUCACUUAGUUGAUUCAGCAGCAGAAUGCCCUGAUGCAAGUGUUAGUACAGAACCAAGGCAACAACAACAACAACAACAACAACAAGAACCCACCACCACCACCUGUUGAUCACUUAGCCCGUUUCUUGAGGCUAAAUCCGCCGGUGUUUUCCAGCAGCACCGAGCCGAUUGUUGCAGAUGAUUGGCUCCGCAAAGUUGGAAGGGAGUUGACCACUGCAGGAUGCACAGAUGCGGAGAGAGUGCGUUUUGCCGCACAUCAGCUUGAUGGACCCGCAGCAUCAUGGUGGGAGAAUUACACAGCCACACACCCUAUUGACACUGUCACAUGGGACCAGUUUCAGCAAGCUUUCCGUACUGCCCAUGUUUCAGCAGGAGCUAUGGCUAUGAAGAAGCGUGAGUUUUGCAACCUACGCCAAGGAGGACGCACCGUAGGCCAGUAUGUGGAGGACUUUAGUAAAUUAGCACGUUAUGCUCCAGAUGACGUUGCUACAGAUGCAGCCAAGUAGGAGAAAUUUUUGGAAGGACUGAAUGAUGAGCUGAGCAUGCAGUUGAUGGUAGCAACCUUCAACAACUACCAGGAGUUGGUAGAUAGAGCUCUCAUGAUUGAAGGGAAGCAGCAGCAGAUUGAAAACCGUAAAAGGAAGUAUGGACAAGGGAAGUACAAUUCCGGAGCUCAGCAGAAGCCACGUUUUACCUCGAAAUCGGGAGGACCAUUUCAGCAUACCCAUGGAGGAGGUUCGCACAACCAUAAUGGCCCCAAGAAUGGUAAUGGGAAUGGAGGAAGCAACGGCCAGAACCGUACCAACCCUUCAACCCCAGCUAAGAGAGACCUGAGCCAAGUCACUUGCUUUAAGUGUCAGAAGACUGGACAUUAUGCCAAUGACUGUCCUAAAGCCCAGAAUGGAAAUGACAAUGGAAGCUCUAGGAAGAAGCCGAACCCUUUCAACAAAGGACACGUGAACCACGUUAGCGUGGAGGAGGUAGAAGCUCAGCCAAAUGCAGUAAUAGGUAAGUUUUUGGUUAAGUCAUUUACUGCACUCGUUCUUUUUUAUACUGGUGCAUCACAUUCAUACAUAACAAGGGGAUUUGUGGAUAAGUAUAAACUGCCAACCCAAGCCCUUAGGUCACCCAUGUUAGUAACCUCGCCAGGAGCAGAGUAUAUGGCUAGUUUAUGGUGUGAUCGGUUACCAUUAAGGAUUGGUAACUACGUGUUUCCCUCGGACCUAAUAGCACUGGAAUCGCAAGGAUUGGAUGUGAUAUUAGGCAUGGAUUGGUUAUCGAAGUAUGGAGGGAACAUUGAGUGCGCCAGUAAGUCGAUUUUGCUUACCACCCUAGAAGGAAGAAGGAUUAAGUAUGUAUCCCGGCAUAUGCCGAAGAGGACUCAGGUGAAUUCCUUAUCAGGAGUUGUACAGGAGGAAGUACCAGUGGUGAAGGAUUACCCGGAUGUAUUUCCAGAAGAGUUGCCAGGCAUGCCACCGGAUAGAGACAUUGAGUUUUUGAUUGAGCUUUUGCCAGGCACAGGGCCAAUAUCUAAGAGACCGUACAGAAUGCCCGCAAAAGAUUUGGAGGAGAUUAAGAAGCAGAUUAAGGAGUUACUGGAUAAAGGCUAUAUUCGCCCAAGUUCUUCACCUUGGGGAUCACCCGUACUUCUAGUGGAGAAGAAAGAUGGAUCGUUGAGGAUGGUUGUUGAUUAUCGUGGAUUGAAUGAAGUGACCAUCAAAAAUAAGUACCCACUGCCGAUGAUCAAUGAUCUGUUUGACCGAUUACAAGGAGCUAAGCUAUUUUCCAAGAUUGAUCUACGAUCAGGAUACCAUCAGUUGAAGAUUCAAGAGCAGGAUAUACCUAAGACGGCUUUUACCACCAGGUAUGGGCUGUACAAGUAUACCGUUAUGUCAUUUGGUCUGACUAACGCACCUGCCUAUUUCAUGAACCUAAUGAACAAAGUGUUUAUGGAGUUUUUGGAUAAGUUCGUCGUAGUGUUCAUUGAUGACAUGAUUUACUCCAAGAAUGAAGAGGAGCAUAAGGAACAUUUGCGUUUGGUACUUGAGAAGCUCAGAGAACAUCAGUUAUACGCCAAGUUCAGCAAAUGUGAGUUUUGGUUAAAGGAAGUUGGAUUCCUCGGACAUGUUAUAUCCGGAGAAGGAAUAGCAGUUGACCCCGCCAAAGUCGACACUGUGACAAACUGGGAAUCACCCACAUCAGUUGGAGAGAUCCGGAGUUUUCUUGGACUUGCAGGAUACUACCGGAGGUUCAUUGAGAAUUUCUCGAGGAUUGCUAAGCCCAUGACAGAGCUGUUAAAGAAGGACACCAAGUUCAAUUGGACUGAGGAAUGUGAAGCUAGUUUCCAAGAGUUGAAGAAACGUUUGGUUACAUCACCAGUGUUGAUUCUGCCAGAUCAACGCAAGGAUUAUGAAGUAUAUUGCGACGCUUCACGUAGAGGACUUGGAGUAGUGCUAAUGCAGGAGGGAAGAGUUGUUUCAUAUGCUUCACGACAACUCAAACCCCAUGAGAAGAAUUAUGCCACGCAUGAUCUGGAGUUAGCAGCCGUAGUACAUGCGUUGAAGACAUGGAGACAUUUUCUCAUCGGAAAUCACUGUGAGGUGUACACGGAUCACAAGAGUUUGAAGUACAUUUUCACGCAGAAGGAGUUGAAUCUCAGGCAAAGGAGAUGGUUGGAGCUCAUUAAGGAUUAUGAUAUGAGAUUGCAUUAUCACCCAGGGAAGGCUGACGUAGUAGCUGAUGCGUUGAGCCGCAAAAGUCAUGUAAACACACUCAUGAUCGGAGAAUUACCCAAGAAGUUAGCCGAGGAUCUUCGCGAACUACGUUUGGAAAUAGUUCCGAGAGGCUAUGUAGCAACGUUGGAGAUUCAGUCUACCUUGAUGGAAAAGAUCAGGGAAGCUCAGAGACAGACAAGGAGAUUGCAGAAAUAAAGAAAAGGAUGAGUAAAGGAAAAUCCAAGGGAUUUCGUGAGGAUGAGCACGAUACCUUAUGGUUUGAGGACCGCGUUUAUGUGCCCAAUGAUCCCGAGAUCAGGAAGUUGAUCUUGCAAGAGGCCCAUGAUUCGCCUUAUUCGAUUCACCCAGGAAAUACCAAGAUGUAUUUGGAUUUGAAGGAUACUUUCUGGUGGACCGGAAUGAAGAAGGAUAUUGCGGAGUAUGUAGCAGUUUGUGAUGUAUGUCAGAGAGUGAAGGCAGAGCAUCAGAAGCCAGCAGGAUUGCUACAGCCAUUGCCGAUACCCGAAUGGAAGUGGGAUAAACUAGGCAUGGAUUUUAUCACGGGAUUGCCCAGGACUCGUUCAGGCUAUGACUCGAUAUGGGUUGUAGUCAAUCGUUUGACGAAGGUAGCUCAUUUCAUCCCAGUGAAGACCACUUACACCAGUGCUAAGUUGGCAAAGAUAUACAUGACUAGGAUCGUAUGUCUGCAUGGAGUUCCGAGGACCAUUGUAUCAGAUAGAGGAACCCAGUUUACUUCGAAGUUUUGGAAUUAGUUACAUGAAACUUUGGGUACCAGGCUAGAUUUUAGUACAGCCUUUCACCCACAGACAGACGGACAGACCGAGAGAGUCAAUCAGAUUUUGGAAGAUACGCUGAGAGCUUGCGCGCUAGAUUAUGGAUCUAGUUGGGACGACAAUUUGCCGUAUGCAGAAUUCUCUUACAACAACAGUUAUCAAACCAGUUUGAAGAUGGCCCCUUUCGAAGCUUUAUAUGAAAGGAGGUGUAGAACACCAUUGUUAUGGGACGAAGUUGGAGACCGCUAGUUGUUUGGACCAGAUUUGAUUAAAGAGUCCGAACAGAAAGUGAAGUUGAUUCCCGAUAGGCUCAAGGUAGCCCAGUCCAGGCAGAAGAGUUAUGCGGAUUCUAAAUGCAAGGAGACAGUUUACGAAGUCAGAGACAGAGUUUACCUACGAGUAUCACCACUUCGAGGAGUGAAGCGCUCUGGAGUUAAGGGAAAGUUAGCGCCACGUUUUGUAGGACCAUACAAAGUUUUGGAGCGUAUGGGAGAAGUUGCCUACAAGCUGGAAUUGCCUGAAGGAUUGUCAGGAGUUCAGGAUGUAUUUCACAUUUCCCAGUUGAAGAAGUGCCACGCAGAUAUGGCUGAUAUACCACUGAGAGAUACGGUGCCAUUGGAAGCGAUUCAGUUGGAUAGUGACUUGACCUAUGAGGAGAAACCAGUUAAGAUUCUGAAGUAUGCCAGCCGAGUCACCCACAGCAAGGUUAUCAAGUUUUGCAAAGUUCAGUGGAGUCACCAUACCGAGGACGAAGCCACCUGGGAACGAGAGGAAGAUCUACGGAAGGACCACUCUCACCUAUUUUCUAGCCAACCUGAAUCUCGAGGGCGAGAUUCCUCUUAAGGGGGUAGGUUUGUAACAUCCCAAAUUUUCAAUUUGGAAUGUUAUACAUUAGAUCAUCAUUGCAUAGCAUAUUUUAUUGCAUUUUGGCAAAUCCUCGAAAUCCUAAGCAACUCAAGGACCCUAGGAGAGAGUUGGGGAUUUUCCCGGUUUUCAUAUUUGAUUUUUUUAUCAAAUAAUGAAACGAGGAUUUUGGUUUUAAUAAUUUUUCUCUCUGGAAAAUAUUUCAUAUUAAAACAAAUCAGAGGAGAAAAUAUGGCUUCUCCGAAAUAAUUGAAAUAUUGGAGGAAAAAUAUUAAAAAUCAAAUAUUUGAUUUUAUUCGGAUUUUAUUUGCAUUAGAAAAAUUUCACGUUUUCAAAACUGCAUUUUUGGGCCAAGAAAAUGUUCAUGUCGUUCUAAUUAUUUUAAUUAGACAGAGAAAAUUUAUUUUGGCAUUUUUAGAUUUUUAUUUAUUUUUCUAGGAUUUUUUUAGGUUCAGAGGAAUUAUUAAAAAAAAUCCCGCGAGCGCCGACUGGGCCGAAGCCCAGCCCAGCGGCCCAGCCCAGCUCCCCGUCGUCUCCGAGCUGGAGACGUCCGCGCCGCCGCCCGAGUCCCGAUCGACGCCGCCUCCCGCCGCCUUGCCCCCUCCCCCACGGCGGCCCCCCACCUAUAUAUACCCCGCACCCCGCCGCCUCCCUCACCCCGUCCCACCCUGACCGAAGCCCGCCGGAGCCGCCCGACGNNNNNNNNNNNNNNNNNNNNNNNNNNNNNNNNNNNNNNNNNNNNNNNNNNNNNNNNNNNNNNNNNNNNNNNNNNNNNNNNNNNNNNNNNNNNNNNNNNNNNNNNNNNNNNNNNNNNNNNNNNNNNNNNNNNNNNNNNNNNNNNNNNNNNNNNNNNNNNNNNNNNNNNNNNNNNNNNNNNNNNNNNNNNNNNNNNNNNNNNNNNNNNNNNNNNNNNNNNNNNNNNNNNNNNNNNNNNNNNNNNNNNNNNNNNNNNNNNNNNNNNNNNNNNNNNNNNNNNNNNNNNNNNNNNNNNNNNNNNNNNNNNNNNNNNNNNNNNNNNNNNNNNNNNNNNNNNNNNNNNNNNNNNNNNNNNNNNNNNNNNNNNNNNNNNNNNNNNNNNNNNNNNNNNNNNNNNNNNNNNNNNNNNNNNNNNNNNNNNNNNNNNNNNNNNNNNNNNNNNNNNNNNNNNCGUCGCCCCACGUCGCCACCCGCCGCCUCCCCGCACCCCGCCGCACGCCCGAAGCCCCGCCGGAGCCCGUCCCGCCCGCCGGAGUAACCUCGCCGGAGGUAACCGAAGCCACCGCCGCCGAUUCUGGUUUUUUUUAAACCAUUUCGGUUUUUUUUUAGAAACCCUAGGUUUAUUUUUUUAAGAUCGGUUUAUUUUUUUUCUUUGGUUUAGUUAGUUAGUGAACGUUCGCCGGUCCGUUCGUUUUAACGAACGUGUUCACCGUUUAGUUGAUGUUAACGAACGUCCGUUCGAUUAACUGUUCGUCAGUUUUCUUUUUCAUCGAAUUAUUCGUGAUUAUUCCAGAUCGCGAUUUCCGUCUGUUUUUUGUUUUAGUUUAACUUUUCGCUCGUUUAUGGGAAUCAGGCGAUUCAAGCGCCUAGAGUUUGGUCUCGAAAUUCUCUUUCCGUUUAACUAAGUCAAACAAGUUUUUGCUACUGUAAAAUUUCACUUAGAUCCAAAUUAGUAAACGAAGCCUGUUUCUUUUGCCGUUUGACUUUCGUUGCUUCGUUCGAUUUGAUUCUUUUUGCAAACCAGAGUUCUUAAGUUGAACUUUCUAGUUAGAUCUUUUACUUGAGUUUUACCUGUGCAUCAGAUGAGUGCUUAUUGUAUGCUUGUUUGUUUGCGAUAGAGUACCCGGAGUGCGCCGCUUGCUACUUCGAAUCUCUAAGUUUCACGGAUCAUCAGCAAGGCAAGUAACACUUUGAUCAUACCUCUUUACUACCCAGUUUUAUUGCAUUAGACCAAUCCUCAAACAUUGUAUGAUUAGGAUCUAAUUAAAUUGUGGGUAUUGGGAAGUAGAUGAGGUAGUACCUAUUGCCCUGUUUAUUAUCAAACCUUGGGAGUUACUUCUACGUUUGCUCAUGUUGCUAUGCUAUGCUAGUAGACGUGGAUUGGGUUUGAAUGUAUCCAUGACAGAUGUGAGAUUGUUAAAUUAAUGGUUUACUUAAGGUGGCAACUAAAACACACAUCUGGGUGGAUUGAGGCACCUGGGUAUCCCAGUGAUUGCCUGUUUUCUUUUGGACCGCCACCCAGGUUCAAAGGGAUCAUGAGAUUAUUCAUGCUAGAAACUUCCGUGUGCAGCCGCAAGCUAUUAUGGGCUCUAGCAUAGUUGAGUAGGUUGUGUGAGCUCUUGAAGAGGUAGACUAUCAGAUGUAGGGGAUGUAGGUGGUACUGUCUACCCAGAGUAGAGAGUUAACGCUUCUGAAAGACUGUGUCUCGGUCAUCCGUUUCUCAAACACCAUGAAGUGCGAGAAUCCCAACGGAGGAGAUCGAGUCUUGUGGGGAAAAGUGCACAAACCUCUGCAGAGUGUAUAAACUAAUCAUGGUUAGCCGUGUCCCCGGUUAUGGACAUCUUGAGUAUCUAGUACUUGGAUUAUCAUGUGAAUCUCAUCAUGUUACUUUAAUUAAUUUUGUUGGGUUAAUGAUGAUACUUAAUUGGGAUUAAGAUGCUGUCAACCAUCUCAAUAUUUAACAACCACCAUGAUAGUUAAAUAAAAAUUUAUUCCUUUGUAGUAGGGAAAAAUUGGCUUUUUGCAAAACUGUAACCAUAGAGAUUAACACCAGCCAUAUAUGCACGUAGUAUAGCAUUAUUCUGUCCAUUACUCUCUAUGUGUUAUGUUGCCAGCAUAUUCCAUGUGCUGACCCGUUUUCGGGCUGCAACGUUUCAUGUUGCAGACUUUUCAGACGACGAGUAAGGUGCCUUAGGUCGUGGUCUUAUACUCAGUGAUGCCGUUGGAGUUGAUGGACUCACUUAUCUUCCAAGUCUUCCGCUGUUAUCGUUUUAGAUGGCCUUAAGCCAUAUUUGUCAUACUUAUUUCUCUCUUGAGAUACUCGUUGUAAUAAGUGUGUGAUUGCUACUCUGUUACAAACCCUCCAAGUACUGUGCGUGUCAGCAUUACUGAUCCAGGGAUGACACUGGUGCACGGUAGAUCAGACUGUUUGAGGUCUGGUUGCUACAAAGGUGGUAUCAGAGCACACGCUGACUGUAGGACACGACCACUAAGCUUAAACCCUAGAACACUACUCUCUUCUCAUUUCUGACUCCUCUCCACUUUCUAAUCUUUUAGGAAUGGCGGAUGCAAGGAACAAGCUCAUGCAACCGGAUGAAGAUACACCUUUUGGACGACACUUGAAGGAAGUCACUAAGUACCUGAAUAUCAGAAUACCAAGCUUCACCGGGACCUACAAGGCCACACUACCAGAAGAGGAGCGCUGGAAGAUUCAAGUUCAAGUUCUAGGAAGGACGUUUACGCCAGUCACUGAGCCUAUAGAGUUUUCCUUUGAUGCACCAACCUCGAGUUUAGGGAAGAGCAUGGCAGCCCACAUCACUAUGGGACGCAUUGGAGAAGUCUACCAUAGGGAGCUUAAGGAUACUAUUUAUCAGAUUUGUGGACGCCGAGAUGAGCAAUGGGAGAUGAUCAGCACCAAGAAGGAUGGAUCAAUUGCAGCUUUCAUCCAGGAGCAAAACCAACACAUUCGUCGCCAAGCGAACCAGAUGUGCGCAGACAUGAUAGAUCUGAAGAAGGCAUUGACCAAGAUCACGGAGUUGGAGGAAGAACUCAAGGCUACACGCAAGGAUUAUAUGGAGGAAAUCGUCGCACUGGUGGAGAAGAAUGACGACCUGAUAAAGAAGAUCGGAGUAUUCAUGGGAGACCCAGCACCAGGAGGAGAAGAUGAUGAUUGCACUUGCCCGGAUAACUACAUCAUCAUCGACGACACCGACUUAGACCCCAGUGAAGAUGAUUUUGUUGAUGAAGCUGGAGCAGAUAUCAUGGAGUCUUCGACCGAUCAAAAUUUCUAGUAGACCACCAUAAUCAGUAGUAGUAUUCCCCCAUGUAUAUAGUAUAGUCUGAGCACUUUGUAACAAUAGUUAGAUCGAUUGUAUGCCUUGUUUGAAUUGAUUGAGUGAUAUUGAUUGUGUUUGUCUCAUGAGCAUAUGGGUAGUGCUUUCUCUCUAGCCCUCAUUCUAUUCUAAAUUCUCAUGUUUUCUAAACCUAUCAGAUGCCUCCGAGACGCGACACCGGAUUUGUUUUCCCACCGGAGAUCACUCAGUUGAUUCAGCAGCAGAAUGCCCUGAUGCAAGUGUUAGUACAUAACCAAGGCAACAACAACAACAACAACCCACCACCACCACCUGUUGAUCACUUAGCCCGUUUCUUGAGGCUAAAUCCGCCGGUGUUUUCCAGCAGCACCGAGCCGAUUGUUGCAGAUGAUUGGCUCCACAAAGUUGGAAGGGAGUUGACCACUGCAGGAUGCACAGAUGCGGAGAGAGUGCGUUUUGCCGCACAUCAGCUUGAUGGACCCGCAGCAUCAUGGUGGGAGAAUUACAUAGCCACACACCCUAUUGACACUGUCACAUGGGACCAGUUUUAGCAAGCUUUCCGUACUGCCCAUGUUUCAGCAGGAGCUAUGGCUAUGAAGAAGCGUGAGUUUCGCAACCUACGCCAAGGAGGACGCACCGUUGGCCAGUAUGUGGAGGACUUUAGUAAGUUAGCACGUUAUGCUCCAGAUGACGUUGCUACAGAUGCAGCCAAGCAGGAGAAGUUUCUGGAAGGACUGAAUGAUGAGCUGAGCAUGCAGUUGAUGGUAGCAACCUUCAACAACUACCAGGAGUUGGUAGAUAGAGCUCUCAUGAUUGAAGGGAAGCAGCAGCAGAUUGAAAACCAUAAAAGGAAGUAUGGACAAGGGAAGUACAAUUCUGGAGCUCAGCAGAAGCCACGUUUUACCUCGAAAUCGGGAGGACCAUUUCAGCAUACCCAUGGAGGAGGUUCGCACAACCAUAAUGGCCCCAAGAAUGGUAAUGGGAAUGGAGGAAGCAACGGCCAGAACCGUACCAACCCUUCAACCCCAGCGAAGAGAGACCUGAACCAAGUUACUUGCUUUAAGUGUCAGAAGACUGGACAUUAUGCCAAUGACUGUCCUGAAGCCCAGAAUGGAAAUGGAAAUGGAAGCUCUGGGAAGAAGCCGAACCCUUUCAACAAAGGACAUGUGAACCACGUUUAGCGGAGGAGGUAGAAGCUCAGCUAGAUGCAGUAAUAGGUAAGUUUUUGGUUAAGUCAUUUACUGCACUCGUUCUUUUUUAUACUGGUGCAUCGCAUUCAUACAUAUCAAGGGGAUUUGUGGAUAAGUAUAAACUGCCAACCCAAGCCCUUAGGCCACCCAUGUUAGUAACCUCGCCAGGAGCAGAGUAUAUGGCUAGUUUAUGGUGUGAUCGUUUACCAUUAAGGAUUGGUAACUACGUGUUUCCCUCGGACCUAAUAGUACUAGAAUCGCAAGGAUUGGAUGUGAUAUUAGGCAUGGAUUGGUUAUCGAAGUAUGGAGGGAACAUUGAGUGCGCCAGUAAGUCGAUUUUGCUUACCACCCCAGAAGGAAGAAGGAUUAAGUAUGUAUCCCGGCAUAAGCCUAAGAGGACUCAGGUGAAUUCCUUAUCAGGAGUUGUACAGGAGGAAGUACCAGUGGUGAAGGAUUACCCGGAUGUAUUUCCAGAAGAGUUGCCAGGCAUGCCACCGGAUAGAGACAUUGAGUUUUUUGAUUGAGCUUUUGCCAGGCACAGGGCCAAUAUCUAAGAGACCGUAUAGAAUGCCCGCAAAAGAUUUGGAGGAGAUUAAGAAGCAGAUUAAGGAGUUACUAGAUAAAGGCUAUAUUCGCCCAAGUUCUUCACCUUGGGGAUCACCCGUACUUCUAGUGGAGAAGAAAGAUGGAUCAUUGAGGAUGAUACUUAAUUGGGAUUGAGAUGUUGUCAACCAUCUCAAUGUUUAACAACCACCAUGAUAGUUAAAUAAAAAUUUAUUCCUUUGCAGUAGGGAAAAUUUGGCUUUUUGCAAAACUGUAACCAUAGAGCUUAACACCAGCCAUAUAUGCAUGUUGUAUAGCAUUAUUCUGUCCAUUACUCUCUAUGUGUUAUUUUGCCAGCAUAUUCCAUGUGCUGACCCGUUUUCGGGCUGCAACGUUUCAUGUUGCAGACUUUUCAGACGACGAGUAAGGUGCCUUAGGUCGUGGUCUUAUACUCAGUGAUGCCGUUGGAGUUGAUGGACUCACUUAUCUUCCAAGUCUUCCGCUGUUAUCGUUUUAGAUGGCCUUAAGCCAUAUUUGUCAUACUUAUUUCUCUCUUGAGAUACUCGUUGUAAUAAGUGUGUGAUUGCUACUCUGUUAUAAAUCCUCCAAGUACUGUGCGUGUCAGCAUUACUGAUCCAGGGAUGACACUGGUGCACGGUAGAUCAGACUGUUUGAGGUCUGGUUGCUACACCGAUGCCCGGGACGAUGUAGUUUAUUUUGCUAUGCUCGUAGACAGGGUUGGUUGAGUGAUUCAUAAGGGAGAUGCGAGAGUCAAGAUGAUGAAAACCCCACGACAUCAAGCUCAAGAUGGACUUCAAAAUUCACUACUGGGUGGAGGACGGUUGACGGGCACCCUGGAGAAACCAGCGGAUGGCCGGGAUGCAUGGAGAAGCGCCAUGACAUCUUGCGGAAAGCUUCACCCAGCCACGAAGAGACAGAUGGAUACCCCAUUGACCGGAAGCUUACCUGUGCAGACGCAAGCCAUUAUGGGCUCUGGCUGGGUUGACCCUAGGCGUGACUCUGGCCGGACGGUGCUACGAGAUGUAGAAGAACGGUAGGAUUGGAUGGGCACCGGCAGUGGCCCCGAGGAACUCUUCGGAAGACCCUGUUUCGUUCGUCCCGUCUUCAAACACCAGGCAGUGCGAAGACUUAAAGGAGGGAACGAUUCUUGCGGGUAAAGUGCACAAACCUCUGCAGAGUAGCAACCUAAUCGAUUAGCCGUGUCCCCAGUUACGGACAAAUGAGCCUCUGGGAUUGGAGUAUUUCGGAAAUCUCAACAUCGAACUUAAUAAAUUAAUUGAGGGGUUAUUUAAUAAUUGGGAAUGAGACAUUGGUUGGCGGAACCAUCUCAAUAACUACCAACAUUUUGUAGUAAUUGCAAACAAGUCCUUGUUGUAGGGAAAAACCGGCUUUUUCGCAAAACAAUGAAACUUAGAGCCCCACAGCCAAAUUGCAUAUAGUAUUAGUAAUUUUAUUGUUGUUCUCUCUUCAUGACUUGCCAGCAUAUUCAAAAUGCUGACCUACACGGCUGCAACGUCUUAUGUUGCAGAGGAGUUUUCCGAUCAGGAAUGAGGCUACGAUCCACGCUUGGCGAUUGCCCUAUGGAGUCGGAUGGACUCGCUAUUCGUCUACGCUUCCGCAGCUUUAUUUAGUUUAUUUCUCAUGAGUUGGCCUUCGGCUGAAUUUAUUAUGAUGUAAUAUAGACUCGAUAUGAGAAUCGUGUAAUAAAUUCAGGUGUGAUUGAACUUUGAAUCUUUGCAUCAAUGUACUGUGUGUGCCAUCAUGAUCUUGGGAUGGUACAGCUACACAGAGACUUGACCGAUUUCGGGUCAGGUCGCUACACAAGCACAGAGUACAGAAAGCGUAAACACAGGAUAACACAGGAUGAAGACAAAUAGACUGAAGAAAUUGAACUGAGGAAAUUGAGAAAGUCUUCAGUCAAAGUCUUCAAACACAGAUAUGAAUAAGUGCACAACACAGUUAUGAGGAAAUCAAAGAGUUGAGGAAAUAGAACCAGUAAGCUUGGUGAAGACAAUGAUUUGGUAGACCAGUUCCAACUGCUGUCUCAGUUGUACGUCUGGUUGGAGCGGCUAGGUAUUUAAACCUGAGGACACACAGUCCCGAACACACAGUCCUCACCGUAUUCUCCUUGAGCUAAGGUCACACAGACCUCACCCAAUCACUCGUGGUAAGUAUUCAGGUCACUUCCAAACCUUCACAAACUCGGUCACUCAGCGAUCCACAAUUCCUCUUGGAUGCUCUAGACCAUGACGCCUAACCUUCUGGAAGAAGCACAGUCUUCAAAGGUAACAAGCGUCGGAUCCACGCAAGAUCAAUCUCUUCAGUGAUGCUCAAUCACUUUGGGUUUGUAGGUGUUUGGGUUUGGGUUUUCCUCACUUGAUGAUUUUCUCUCAAAGUCCUCGGAGGAUGGGAUGCUCUCAAAUGACAAGUGUCAGUUUCUCUCGGAGCAGCCAACCAGCUAGUGGUUGUAGGGGGCGGCUAUUUAUAGCCUAGGGAGCAGCCCGACAUGAUAAGACAUAAAUGCCCUUCAAUGAUAUGACCGUUAGGUGGGUAGAUAUUUUGGGACAGCUGGCGCGCAGCACAGCAACGGUCGGAAUUUUGAGUAUCAAAUACCUCAGGGCUAUCAUGUUCCUCACUGUGUAGGCAAUCCGCACUGGCGAAUUCCUAACUCCUCAGUCAGAACAAAUUCCUCAGCGACCAGAAGAACUUCGUCUCUGUCACUGAAGAAAUUGACUGAGCUGUAUGAGAUUUCCAAUGGCUUCACCCGAAGGGAUUGGUAGGUGUAGGAUUUUGAGUUGAGCAUCACAUGGAAAUUUUUCCUUAGUAUUUCCUCGACCCCCUUUAACAGUACGGUGUUUCCUACGACUCAAGAAAGAGAAAAUGAAACUACGAAACAAAAGUCUUCACGCUUCAUGUUCCUCGAAUGAAUACCAAGUCUUCAAGGUCACACCAAUUUCUUCACUUUCAAAGUCUUCAGAAAGUCUUCAGAAAACCAAAAUCUUCAGUCGAAGAUAUUCAUUUUUAGGGGUCGACUUUCUCUGUAAAUAUCAAACUCCUCAUAGACUUACAGACCUGUGUACACUCAUAAACACAUUAGUCCCUUAACCUAUAAGUCUUCAAUACACCAAAAUAACUAAGGGGCACUAGAUGCACUUACAGUUAACAAAAGUUAUAUUAGAACACCCAAACCUGAUGAACAAAUUAAAGUACAGCCUAGUGUUGCUAUGGUUAAAGAUCUCUUGGAAGAAGAUAUAGAUGGGCAUGUUAUUUAUUUCUGUAAUGAAGCUACUAGAAUUGUCAAACCUGAUAAAACAAAUAAUCAUAGACCCGUUGUUGGCAUGCCCGUUGUCUCAGUUAAAAUAGGGGAUCACUGUUAUCAUGGUUUAUGUGACAUAGGUGCUAGCAUAAGUGUUAUUCCUUACACCUUAUAUCAAGAAAUUAUGAAUGACAUAGCACCCAUAGAGAUAGAAGAUAUAGAUGUUACUAUUAAACUUGCUAAUAGAGAUACUAUUUCACCAUGGGAUUGUUAGAGAUGUUGAAGUCUUGUGUGGGAAAAUACAAUACCCUACUGAUUUUCUUGUUCUUGGUUCCCCACAAGAUGACUUUUGUCCCAUUAUCUUUGGUAGACCUUUCUUGAACACCCUUAAUGCUAAAAUAGAUUAUAAGAAACAAAUUGUCGGUGUUAGUUUUGGUGAUGAGUCUCAUGAGUUUAGUUUUUCCAAGUUUAGUAGAAAGCUUCAUGAAAAAGAAUUGCCUAGUAAGGAUGAAAUAAUUGGUCUUGCUUCUAUUGUUGUGCCUCCUACGGAUCCACUAGAACAAUAUUUGCUAGACCAUGCAAAUGAUUUACAUAUGCAUGAAAGAAAUCAAAUAGAUAAGAUUUUCUUUGAACAUCGUCCUCUGCUUAAACACAAUUUGCCUAUUGAAACUCUAGGAGGUCCUCCUCCACCUAAAGGUGAUCUUGUGUUUGAAUUAAAACAAUUGCCAGACACUUUGAAAUAUGUUUAUCUUGAUGAAAAGAAGAUAUAUCCUGUUAUUAUUAGUGCUAACCUUACCGAACAUGAAGAAGAAAGAUUAUUGAAAGUUCUAAGGAAGCUGAUAUGUCUCCAUCAUAUCUACUUUUCCAAACACUUUUGCCCUUGUUUUGGACUCUAACUUGCAUGAUUUGAAUGGAACUAACCCGGACUGACGCUGUUUUCAGCAGAAUUGCAAUGGUGUUAUUUUUGUGCAGAAAUAAAAGUUCUCAGAAUGACCUGAAACUUCACGGAGAAUAUUUUUGGAAUUAAUAAAAAAUACUGGCGAAAGAAUCAAGGCCAGGGGGCCCACACCCUAUCCACGAGGGUGGGGGCGCGCCUACCCCCGUGGGCGCACCCCCUGCCUCGUGGGCCCCCUGGUGCUCCACCGACCUCAACUCCAACUCUAUAUAUUCACGUUCGGGGAGAAAAAAUCGGAGAGAAGGAUUCAUCGCAUUUUACGAUACGAAGCCGCCGCCAAGCCCUAAUCUCUCUCGGGAGGGCUGAUCUGGAGUCCGUUCGGGGCUCCGGAGAGGGGAAUCCGUCGCCAUCGUCAUCAUCAACCAUCCUCCAUCACCAAUUUCAUGAUGCUCACCGCCGUGCGUGAGUAAUUCCAUCGUAGGCUUGUUGGACAGUGAUGGGUUGGAUGAGAUUUACCAUGUAAUCAAGUUAGUUUUGUUAGGGUUUGAUCCCUAGUAUCCACUAUGUUUUGAGAUUGAUGUUGCUAUGACUUUGCUAUGCUUAAUGCUUGUCACUAGGGCCCGAGUGCCACGAUUUCAGAUCUGAACCUAUUAUAUUACCAUGAAUAUAUGUGAGUUCUUAAUCCUAUCUUGCAAGUCUAUAGUCACCUAUUAUGUGUUAUGAUCCGUUAACCCCGAAGUGACAAUAAUUGGGACCAUUACCGGUGAUGACCGUAGUUUGAGGAGUUCAUGUAUUCACUAAGUGUUAAUGCUUUGGUCCGGUACUCUAUUAAAAGGAGGCCUUAAUAUCCCUUAGUUUCCAAUAGGACCCCGCUGCCACAGGAGGGUAGGACAAAAGAUGUCAUGCAAGUUCUUUUCCAUAAGCACGUAUGACUAUCUUCGGAAUACAUGCCUACAUUACAUUGAUGAAUUGGAGCUAGUUCUGUGUCACCCUAUGUUAUAACUAUUGCAUGAGGAAUCGCAUCCGGCAUUAUUCUCCAUCACCGAUCCAAUGCCUACGAGCUUUUCACAUAUUGUUCUCCGCUUAGUUACUUUUCCGUAGCCACUGUUACAAUUACUACAAAACUAUCACUGUUACUUUUACCACCGUUACCGUUACUUCCAUACUACUUUGCUACUAAAUACUUUGCUGCAGAUACUAAGUUAUCCAAGUUGUUGAAUUUACAACUCAGCUGCUAAUACUUGAGAAUAUUCUUUGGCUCCCCUUAUGUCAAAUCAAUAAAUUUGGGUUGAAUACUGUACCCUCGAAAACUCUUGCGAUCCUCUAUACUUGUCGGUUAUCAAGACUAUUUUCUGGCACCGUUGCCGGGGAGCAUAGCUCUAUUCUUUGAGUCACUUGGGAUUUAUAUCUGCUGGUCACUAUGAGCAACUUGAAAGACGAAAGAACUAAGAUUUUUCCUCAACUACGAGGGGAGGUAAGGAACUGCCAUCUAGCUCUGCACUUGAUUCACCUUCUGUUUUGAGUAAGCUUGCGACACCUAAACCUCCUUCCGCUAUUUAUUCUGAUAUGUCGCAUGUUAUUGAUGAUGCCACUUCUGAUAUGCAUGAUACUUAUGAUGAAACUACUUCUAUGCUUGAUACUACUGUGCCAUUAGGUGAAUUUCUUGAUGAACAACUUGCUAGGGCUAGAGAGAAUGAAAUUAUUGAAACUGAUAAUAUUGAUGAAAGUGAUGAUGAAGAUUCUCCCCCUAGAUAUGAAUUUCCUGUUGUGCCUGAGGGUUAUGUUAUGGAUGAAGAAACUGCUAGAGACUUUCUUGCUAGCAAUGAUAGGAGUGAUCUUAAGAAAUUAUUAGUUAAGCUGAAAGAAAAAUCUCUGAAUGCUAGAAUGAAAUAUGACCCUGCUUUUGCUACUUCACCUAUCUUUAUUACUAAUAAGGAUUGUGAUUUCUCUGUUGAUACUGAGAUAAUUACUUUGGUUGAAUCUGAUCCUUUUUAUGGCUAUGAAUCUGAAACUGUUGUGGCACAUCUUACUAAAUUAAAUGAUAUAGCCACCAUGUUCACUAAUGGUUGAAUCUGAUCCUUUUUAUGGCUACUACUAUAUCCUUAAAUUAUUUCCGUUCUCAUUAAAGGGUGAUGCUAAGAUAUGGUUUAAUUCUCUUGACCCUGGUUGUGUGCGUAGUCCCCAGGAUAUGAUUUAUUACUUCUCUGCUAAAUAUUUCCUCGCUCAUAAGAAACAAGCUGCUUUAAGGGAAAUAUAUAAUUUUGUGCAAAUUGAAGAAGAGAGUCUCCCACAAGCUUGGGGGAGGCUUCUCCAAUUACUUAAUGCUUUGCCUGAUCACCCUCUCAAGAAAAAUGAAAUACUUGAUAUCUUUUAUAAUGGACUAACCGAUGCUUGCAGAGACCACCUGGAUAGUUGUGUUAGUUGUGUUUUCAGGGAAAGAACAGUUGAUCAAGCUGAAUUGCUAUUGAAUAAUAUGUUAACUAAUCUAUCUAUCUAUACCUAUACUAAUUUGGCACUUCCUACAAAAUCUCACGUUAAUUAGAGAAAAUUAAAAAAUAGAGACCAUUGAUUUGAUGGGUCCGAAUUAUAAUGGUUCAGAUCUAACAUAGAAAUGUCCGUGUUAAUUAAUAAAAUAGGCCUUUGAUUUGGUGGUCCAAAUUAUAACAGUUCAGAUCCUGGCUAAAUCUAUCUAUCACGGUUGUUAAAAUAGAUAGAGGGAAAAAACUCUCAUAUCAAUCUCCACAUAUCCUUGAAAGGCUACGUAGUGUUUUCUCAGGAAAAAAUAGAAGUACGGUGUGUUUUCUCAAGAAAAUAGAAGUACGUAAUGUAACAGAACUCCUAGCUUUUCACGGUUGUUAAAACAAAAGGAAAAAAACUGUCUAGAAUCUAGAUCUCUACGUAUAACCUUUUCAUCUCUCCAUUAGAAAAAGAGAAAUCUGUAGCAAUGUUUGUCUAACUAUUCUAUGAUCUAUUCCUUCUCACUAAAAAAAUCAACAACCUGAAGUAAUCUCCAUGGUCUCUUCCGCUUCUGAUGCGAUCUUGCGGCAGGGACAUCGUCGUUCCCUUCUCCCAUUGAGAAGUAAGUGCAUUACCAUCGCCUCUCCUCUCCCAUGGAAAAAAACUCAUCGCCUUAAGCAAGCAGGCUAGGGCGUGGAUUGGGUGUGCUAAAAGAGCUUAUUUCAUCAAAAUUGUUUGGACUAAUUGCAUACGAACUCUGUUUCUAUGCAGUCUUUUCUAUACAUGCAUGCCUCCUAUGCAUCAAUGUCAGAGUCAUCAACCAUAAAAGAAAACUGAUGGUAAUGCUGCCAUCCACAAAGGAUUUCCUCCCCAUGCAACCUUGUAUGUGUGCCCUCAACAUCAGCCUCCUCCGCAUGUUUGAUACUGUCUGCCACGUUGAUUAUUGAUUACCAAUUUUAUAGUGCCCCAAUUUUGCAGUCAUCCAAUAUAGGGGCAAGCCCAACCUCAACGAUGCAGCCAAGGGCCUCAAGGCAAUACACACGUAUGAGGUUAAACUGAUCAGUUUGGAUCUCUUCAACAUCAAGUUGUCACCAUGCCGCAAUCCAUACCAUCCCUAUUUUGUCCAAUUAACUAAUCUGUGGUAGGCGUGACUGUAGUUGAUGUUGAUCGUGCAAUUCUGCAGUGCCAUCGUUGGCCAGGUUGUUUGAGUGGAGGAACUGCGACAGAUAUAUGAAGCCAGCUGGGGUGGUCUCUACUUCGUCUGCAUUGGCAACACAUAAUUCAAACAAUAAUGCUUCGUGUGUGAUCUAUCAAAUCAAAUGGUGCGCAUACUGUCCACUGUUAUUUCGAUCAAGCAUGAUUAUGGAUAUUUCUACAUGGUCAACACAAUCAGUUGUUAUGUUAUGUUCCCUGUAGAGAUAUAUUGACUCUUCUAACUAUAUCCCUAAAAAAAUAUACACUCCAAAUCUCCCAUUAUCUGGUGUGUAUCUGAUUCUUCUACCUUUCAUCAUUUAGCCGAGGUAUGUUGCCUAUACUUUUACUUCACAUACCAACUUACCACUUUUAAGAUCACGACUAAUUGAGUAGUAAUGUUAUCUUGGUAGAUCUGACAGUUUGAUUUUACAGCUCAUAGGCAUGAAAAUGAAGCGUGCUGCAUAUAAUAUUUCAGCUGUACCCAUUUAAUUUACAAAUUUCCUACUCAUAUGAUUUGCCUAUUUGUUUUGAGAUAUAAUCAUAUAACCUAUCGAAGUAUAAUGUUUAUGUGUUUUUUAUAACUUGAUUGUUAUGUUGAUCUGAAUAUUAAUUAAAUAGUAUAGGAGCCAAACUAAACCAUCCAACGUUCGUGAUUUAUACGAAAACAAUUGUGCUUUGCGUCGCAUGUAACAUAGGUAAACUGGGCGUUUGGGGCUCAAUCUGUCACAUCUCUCUAUUUGAUGCGAAUCAUCUUAUUGUCCUAUUGUUGUUUGAUCACUGGUGCAUAAAUCUCUAUUCUGCUAAUCUAGCAUUCAUGUCUCACUCGCUUAUACUUGCAGGCUAUUCGAAGAAUCCAUCCAAACCAAGACCCAGUUCAAUGAAGACUGAUGGUUCCGACGCUCCUAGACCAAUAUGUAAAGAAGUAAUUAUAAGUACUCGGGAAAGUUAUGAUAUGCAUCAUGUAAUUCGACUAGCCCCAUUUUGCUUAGUGCUUUUACAAUCCAAUGCCAUGACAAAAAAGCAACUCGGUUAUUACUGAGUUCUACCUAAUUGAUUACGGUUUUUUAUUCUUAUUUUCUCCCGAUUCCCUCCAAGAUGAUCACUGUAUUCGCCCCGUUGAACUGGCAUUGGAUAGAAAAAUCAGCUGAUGUGCCAUGACCUCGGUACAUAUUGAACACCCGACACAAGAUGUAUGCAGCAGUUAUGCGUGGUACGAUGGGUGCACAAAUAAGCAAGUAAGCAUAUGGUGACACAUAAGAUUUCAUAUGUGUCAUAGUAGUUGCUCGACCCGUAUAAAAUCAAUAUUAUUGGCUCUUAAUUAAGAUAAAACCACUAGAUGCUAUUGAUAAAUUUAUAUCCAUGGCACCUUUGGUCCUUCCACUCCUCCAUACCCUAUCGAGAAGAGGUCAAUAUCAUAUGUGAUGGCACACUCAAGCGAUGAAUUGGACUGGGCACCCGAGGACGAACGUACGACUUGGUCGUGAUGGACACCAGAUGAACUACGUGUUUGUAUAUUGUUUCAAAAAUAAUAGGUCAUUAAUGAUUCUUCUUUGUCUAUGUACCACAUAUCCAAACAUCAGUAGAAGCAUUUCUUCCAAAUGCAUGUCUUUAUUUCAUUUGUAGGGAACCAAAUGCAUGUGUAUGAUGACUAUUAAAUUCUUUAGCAACUUCUUUACCUCACAAUUAAUUGAAAGAAUAUCAACUUUCUUGCAUGAUAAUUUAUGUUUGUUCUUACUAUUUUUUGUAGAAAAAUACGAUUAGGAAAACCAAAAAUUGCACAACAUAGUUUUGCAAAUAAUAAUCCAUACAUGUCACAAAUAAGUAAUGUUUUGCAUAUGGCUUAAGUCAAACUUCUAAAUUCCUUGAUUUCUAUAGACACGUUAUAAUUGAAAUUAGUGAUCAGGAGAAUAGGCAAUAAUACCUCUACAAAUAUUAAGAGAUAGUUCGUGUGCAUUAAUGCUCGAAUCUAUAUAUGCAUAAGUGGAGACAAGCAACAUAUUCAGCAACCAGUCCACGUGCUUUUUAAAUGAGGCAAACAACUGUACACUUAAGGUGACAAUUCUCGCAUGAAAUGGUUCUAUGAUGUGAGUUCAUUAUUUCUGCCCAUAUAUGAAAAUAGAAACAAUAUGAAGAUCCCAUAUGCCGUUGUCUCAGAACACAUAUUUGUUGGUGCCAAUUUAAUUUUGGUCUGCCUGACAUACCCACAACUUAUUCGUACAAACGCAGUCUGUGAUGAAUCAAGAUAUUUCAUAUCCUUUAGGUUCCAAUGGUAUGCCCUGUCAAUACAGUUGUACACAUCACAUAACUAUGUUCUAUAUGGUUCUAACAUAAUGUUAUGUACUUGGCCCGUGCGAACGCACGGCUUCAUGACUAGUGAACAUAAUUGGACACUUCCUGAACCAGCUCCUAAGCCAACUCCGAAGAAAAGGGGUAUUCUAUUUCUCAGUCCUGAAGAUAUGCAAGAGGCAAAGAAAUCUAUGAAAGAGAAGGGUAUUAAAGCUGAAGAUGUUAAGAAUUUACCUCCUAUUGAAGAAAUACAUGGUCUUAAUUUACCGUCUCUUGAAGAAAUACAUGGUCUUGAUAACCCGACACAGGUAGUAAAGGUAAAUUCCCUCUAUAGAUUUGAUGAAGGUGAUAUUCCUCAUUAUAAGUCUGCUAGCCAAUGCUUAGAUGAGUUUGAUAAUUUUAUUGUGAAACAAGAAAACUUCAAUGCUUAUUUUGGUAGACAAUUGAAACGCAAUGCUUAUAUGCUUGAACACUUGAGUGAUUAUAUGGCUAGUGUUAAAGGUGAACUUAAACUUAUUAGUAAGCAUGCUUCUAUGGUUACCACUCAAGUAGAACAAGUACUCAAAGCUCAAAAUGACUUGCUCAAUGCAUUAAAUUAUAAGAAAAAUGACUUUGUUGUUAGAGUUGCAACUAGAGGAGGUAAAGUGACUCAAGAACCCUUGUAUCCUGAGGGUCACCCUAAGAGAAUUGAGCAAGAUUCUCAGAGAACUAAUGUUGAUGCACCUAGUCCUUUUAAGAAGAAGAAAAAGAAAAAUGAUAGGACUUUGCAUGCUUCUAGUGAACCUGUUGUUGACACACCUGAGAAUCCCAAUGAUAUUUCUAUUUCUGAUGCUGAAACACAAUCUGGUAAUGAACAUGAACCUAGUGAUAAUGUUAAUGAAGAUGUUCAUGUUGAUGCUCAACCUAGCAAUGAUAAUGAUGUAGAGAUUGAACCUGCUGUUGAUCUUGAUAACCCACAAUCAAAGAAUCAACGUUAUGAUAAGAGAGACUUCAUUGCUAGGAAGCACGGUAAAGAAAGAGAACUAUGGGUUCAGAAACCCAUGCCUUUUCCUCCCAAACCAUCCAAGAAAAAGGAUGAUGAGGAUUUUGAGCGCUUUGCUGAAAUGAUUAGACCUAUCUUCCUGCGUAUGCGUUUUACUGAUAUGCUUAAAAUGAAUCCUUAUGCUAAGUAUAUGAAGGAUAUUGUUACAAAUAAGAGAAAGAUACCGGAAGCUGAAAUUUCCACCAUGCUUGCUAAUUAUACUUUUAAGGGUGGAAUUCCUAAGAAACUAGGAGAUCCAGGAGUACCAACUAUACCAUGCUCCGUUAAAAGAAACUAUGUUAGAACUGCUUUAUGUGAUCUUGGAGCCGCUGUUAGUAUUAUGCCUCUCUCUUUAUAUCGUAGACUUGAUUUGAAUAAGUUGACACCUACUAAAAUAUAUUUGCAAAUGGUUGAUAACUCAACCGCUAUACCUGUCGGUAUUUGUGAGGAUGUGCCUGUUGUGGUUGCAAACGUUACUAUUUUAACGGGCUUUGUUAUUCUUGAUAUUCCCGAAGACGAUAGUAUGUCUAUUAUUCUUGGAAGACCCUUUUUGAAUACUGCAGGGGCUGUUAUUGAUUGCAACAAAGGCAAUGUCACUUUUCAUGUUAAUGGUAAUGAGCAUACGGUACACUUUCCGAGGAAACAACCUCAAGUCCACAGUAUAAACUCUAUGGGAAAAAUUCCAUAAAUUGUUAUUGGAGGUUUUGAAUUUCCUCUUCCUACUGUCAAGAAGAAAUAUGAUAUUCUUAUUGUUGGGGAUGUGCAUAUCCCCGUUGAGGUAGCAUAGUGUUAUUCGCAAUUUCUCCGGUUCCAUGUUAUUCGAAAUGAGUUAGAAAGCACAACCUUCUGUACCCUCAUUUCACUUUCUGUUAUUUAGAUUAAAUAAAGCAAAAAUAGUAUUUUCUGUCUAUUUUCUGAAUUAUCCAUGCAAUAAAAAAUACCCCGAAAAUAAAAGUUCUCCAAAUGCCCCGAAAAUGAAAUAUGAUUUUUCUGGAAUAUUUGAGAAUAUCUGGCACUGAGAACACAGCAGGGGGAGCAAGCACCUGGCCAUAAGGGUCCAGGGCGCGCCCACCCCCUGGGUGCGCCCCUGCCUCGUGGGCCCCUGGUGGCUCCCCUCCACUUAUUCCAGCCACCACACGCUCCUUCUUCCUCCCAAAAAAAAUCACCAACCAGCUCAAGCACGAGUUCUAGCUCAUCUUGCUGCGAUUUUCGAUCUCCUUGCUGAAAGCUCCACUCACAAAACUGCUUUGGGGAAUUAUUCUUCGAUAUGUGACUCCUCCAAUGGUCCAAUUAGUUUUUGUUCUAGUGCUUUAUUCAUUGCAAAUUUUUUCUGCCUAGGUGACCCUGUUCUUGAGCUUGCAUGUCAAAUUUAUAUGGUCCCAAGUAGUUCUAAUGCAUGAUAUAGUCUCUAGGCACUUGUGGGAGUAGUUGCUAUCAAUUUUGUUGAUUUUGGUUCACUUUUAUUUUGAGUUACUAAAAAUUUCAGAAAUUUCCAGAAAAUGAUGAAGAGAUUAUUGAGGGGCUCUUCGAGCCGAAGCUCGAAGGAUAAACAAAGUGAAGAGGAUAAGAGGCCCAAAUAUAAUCUCCCUCGCACCGCGGAAGUUCGGCCGUGUGAAUGGCCUUGUGAUGAUUUCUUGAAGGCAACCGGGAUUCAUGAUGAUUUUUAUUCUUUGGCUGAGAAUGCGGGCCUCACCGACUUCCUCCGCGACCAGCGCGAACAGUAUCUCCUACUCACUAAUAUUUUUCAGCAAAAUUUUCAUUUCCAUGCUAACAGAUCACCACCCUCGGUGGAUUUUUUAUCUAUAUGAUGAGUAUAAGGAGAUGUCCCUUUUCGAUUAUGUCGUGUCUGUAAGAUACCCUUUACAGGCAGCAUAGAAGAACCACAUCGUAAUGAUGUGGAAGGGUUUAUUGAUAUGAUUGCUGUAGGGGAAACAAGGAAAGUUUCUGAUGCAAGAAUUACUAGCAUACAUUUUCCAGUUCUGCGUUACUUUGCGAUAUUUGCUAGUAGAUGUUUAAUUGGUCGCGGAAACUGUGGAAACCUUAGUGCCCCUGAUAUUGUUAUUUUGGGCCAUGCCUUGUUUCGUGAUAACUCUUUUAGUCUAGGCGCUAUCGUUGCCAAACGGUGAAGUCUAAACCGCACGAAGGGUCCCAUCUUGGGAGGUAUCUUCGCCUCGCACCUUGCUGCACACUUUAACAUACCUAUUAGGCAUUAUGAGAAAGAAGAAAAGCUGAUGCCUCCUGUUUUUCUAGAUUAUAAGAGUAUGGUAGCACAUGACUUUAUUGUUAAAAAUAAGAAAAAGAUGCUUAACUACAAACUGUUAUUUGAUAAAAAUCACCCUGAGACUAUUACUUUGCCUGUUCCUUCUUUGUUUAACUUAUCUUCAAGCAAGUAUCUUGUUCAGCCGGAGGCAUUUCAUGCCUACCAGAACCCCACACCAGCUACAGAGCCAGAGCUGGAACCACAACUUGAUCCUUCACGUCAGUCUGUUUACCAGUGGGAUCCGGAGGAGAUUGCCAACCAGUGGCAACCCGAGGCUCCUUCUCAGUACGACCCCAACUACAACUUUGAUCCAUGGGCAUAGACCAACUUAGGCCAAAAGCCUAAGCUUGGGGGAGUACGUAUUUCUCACCGGCAUUUCAUUCAUGUUCACACACUCAUUCUAUUUGUCGGUACUCAUACUUUUUCACUGUAAUAUCCUUGCUAGUUUAUUUUCUUUUUCUCGCUUUCUUCUUGUGUGUUUGAUAAACCUUAAGAAAAAACAAAAAAAUUAGUUGUAGCUUUCAGCUAGUUUACUUUUCAUGCCUGUAGUAGUAAUAAUUAAAAGAAAAGCCAAAAAGAUUUCUCGUUCUUCUUUUGCUUGUUGGGAGCUUUCCCGUGUAAAUAGUUUUAUUUCUUUUCUUUUCUUUGGGGGUCGAGAGGAGAAGACCAUAAUGAAAAUGUUUAAGUGGCUCUUAUAUGCAUUAUUGUUGAUUUAACAAAGAGCCCAUAUUAUCUUGUCUUCUCCUGUGUGUCAGAUGCCUGCAGAUUCCAGCUUAGUCCAAUGCACGUGCCUAUUAUUAUUAUACACACGGUUCGGUCGUGCAAGUGAAAGGCAAUAAUGACGAUAUAUGAUAGACUGAUUGAGAUGAGAGAAUCUGGUAUGAACUCGACCUCUCUUGUUUUUGUAAAUAUGAUUAGUUCAUUGUUCCUGAUUCAGCCUAUUAUGAAUGAACAUGUUUGCAAUGACAAUUAGAGAUUAUAGUUGCUUAUGCCAUGCUUAAUUAGCUAGGAGUUUAUAAUUGUUUACCUUGCGUGCCAACAUGCUAUUAAAAUGGUUGUGAUGUGGUAUGAUAGGGUGGUAUCCUCCUUUGAACGAUUCGAGUGACUUGACUUGGCACAUGUUCACACAUGUGGUUGAAACAAAAUCAACAUAGCCUCCACGAUAUUUAUGUUCAUGGUGGAUUAUAUCCUACUCAUGCCUGCGCUCAAUGUUUAUUAAUUUUAAUGCAUGUUCAUUACUAUUGUCGCUCUCUAGUUGGUUGCUUCCCAGUCUUUUUCUAGCAUUCACUUGUACUAAGCGGGAAUACUGCUUGUGCAUCCACUUCCAUAAACCCCAAAGUUAUUCCAUAUGAGUCCACCAUACCUUCCUAUAUGCGGUAUCUACCUGCCGUUCCAAAUAAAUAUGUAUGUGCCAAACUCUAAACCUUCAAAUAAAACUUUGUUUUGCAUGCUCGAAUAGCUCAUGUAUCAACUACGGUUGUCUGUAUCUUCCAUGCUAGGCGGGUUAUUCUCAAGAGGAGUGGACUCCGCUCCUCACUCACGAGAAAAUGGCUGGUCACCGGGAUGCCUAGUCCCAUGCUCUAAGCGAAUCAAAUCGAAAUAAUUGCAAACAAAACUCCCCCGGGACUCUUGUUAGUUGGAGGCACUCGUUGUUUCGAGCAAGGCAUGGAUUGAUGCUUGUUGGUGGAGGGGGAGUCUAAACUUUACCAUUCUAUUUGGGAAUCGCCUAUAAUGUGUGUAGCAUGGAAGAUAUCGAGAUCUCUCGGUUGUUAUGUUGACAAUGAAAGUAUGCCGCUCAAAAUAUUAUUCAUCUCUAUUUCAAAAUCGAGCUCUGGCACCUCUACAAAUCCUUGCUUCCCUCUGCGAAGGGCCUAUCUAUUUACUUUUAUGUUGAGUCAUCACCCUCUUAUUAAAAAGCACCAGCUGGAGAGCACCGCUGUCAUUUGCAUCCAUUACUAUUAAUUUAUAUUGGGUAUGACUAUGACUGGAUCUCUUUUACCAUGAAUUACAAUGUUUAGUCAGUCCUUGAUCUUCAAAGGUGCUCUGCAUUUAUGUUUUGCGGUCUCAGAAAGGGCUAGCGAGAUACCAUGCAUCUUGUUAUAUCAUAUUAUGAUUGUUUUGAGAAAGUGUUGUCAUCCGAGAUUUAUUAUUAUUGCUCGCUAGUUGAUUAUGCCAUUGAUAUGAGUAAAUAUGAGACCUAAGUGUUAUUGUGAAUAUGGUUAGUUCAUAAUAUUUGCUGAAAACUUGAAUGCUGGCUUUACAUAUUUACAACAACAAGAGCAAACAGAGUUUGUAAAAGUUUUUCUUUAUCACUUUCAGUUUGUGAACUGAAUUGCUUGAGGACAAGCAAAGGUUUAAGCUUGGGGGAGUUGAUACGUCUCCAUCGUAUCUAAUUUUCCAAACACUUUUGCCCUUGUUUUGGGCUCAAACUUGCAUGAUUUGAAUGGAACUAACCCGGACUGACGCUGUUUUCAGCAGAAUUGCCAUGGUGUUAUUUUUGUGCAGAAAUAAAAGUUCUCGGAAUGACCUCAAACUUCACGGAGAAUAUUUUUGGAAUUAAUAAAAAAUACUGACGAAAGAAUCAAGGCCAGGGGGCCCACAACCUGUCCACGAGGGUGGGGGCGCGCCUACCCCUUGGGCGCGCCCCCUGCCUCGUGGGCCCCCUGGUGCUCCACCGACCUCAACUCCAACUCUAUAUAUUCACGUUCGGGGAGAAAAAAAAUUGGAGAGAAGGAUUCAUCGCGUUUGACAAUACGGAGCCGCUGCCAAGCCCUAAUCUCUCUCGGGAGGGCUGAUCUGGAGUCCGUUCGGGGCUCCAGAGAGGGGAAUCUGUCGCCAUCGUCAUCAUCAACCAUCCUCCAUCACCAAUUUCAUGAUGCUCACCACCGUGCGUGAGUAAUUCCAUCGUAGGCUUGCUGGACAGUGAUGGGUUGGAUGAGAUUUACCAUGUAAUGAAGUUAGUUUUGUUAGGGUUUGAUCCCUAGUAUCCACUAUGUUCUGAGAUUGAUGUUGCUAUGACUUUGCUAUGCUUAAUGCUUGUCACUAGGGCCCGAGUGCCAUGAUUUCAGAUCUGAACCUAUUAUGUUUCCAUGAAUAUAUGUGAGUUCUUGAUCCUAUCUUGCAAGUCUAUAGUCACCUAUUAUGUGUUAUGAUCCGUUAACGCCGAAGUGACAAUAAUCGGGACCAUUACCGGUGAUGACUGUAGUUUGAGGAGUUCAUGUAUUCACUAAGUGUUAAUGCUUUGGUCCAGCACUCUAUUAAAAGGAGGCCUUAAUAUCCCUUAGUUUCCAAUAGGACCCCGCUGCCACGGGAGGGUAGGACAAAAGAUGUCAUGCAAGUUCUUUUCCAUAAGCAUGUAUGACUAUAUUCGGAAUACAUGCCUACAUUACAUUGAUGAAUUGGAGCUAGUUCUAUGUCACCCUAUGUUAUAACUAUUGCAUGAGGAAUCGCAUCCGGCGUAAUUCUCCAUCACCGAUCCAAUGCCUACGAACUUUUCACAUAUUGUUCUCCGCUUAGUUACUUUUCCGUAGCCACUGCUACAAUUACUACAAAACUACCACUGUUACUUUUGCCACCAUUACCGUUACUUCCAAACUACUUUCCUACUAAAUACUUUGCUAUAGAUACUAAGUUAUCCAGGUGUGGUUGAAUUGACAACUCAGCUGCUAAUACUUGAGAAUAUUCUUUGGCUCCCCUUGUCUCGAAUCAAUAAAUUUGGGUUGAAUACUCUACCCUCGAAAACUGUUGCGAUCCCCUAUACUUGUGAGUUAUCAGAAGCCCCGAGCUAUUAUUGGAUAUACUCUUAAUAAUUUAAAGGGCAUUAGUCCCACUCUAUGUCAGCACAAUAUUAAUAUGGAAUCGGAUGCUAAACCCGUUGUUGAUCACCAACCUUGGUUAAAUCCGAAGAUGAAAGAAGUGGUAAGAACGGAGAUAUUAAAACUUCUGGAAGCAGGUAUAAUCUAUCCUAUAGCUGAUAGUAGAUGGGUAAGUCAUGUUCAUUGUGUCCCUAAGAAAGGAGGUAUUACUGUUGUUCCUAAUGAUAAGAAUGAGCUCAUUCCACAAAGAAUUGUUACAGGUUAUAGAAUGGUAAUUGAUUUUAGAAAAUUAAACAAAGCAACUAGAAAAGAUCAUUACCCUCUCCCUUUUAUUGAUCAAACGCUAGAAAGAUUAUCUAAGAACACACACUUUUGCUUCCUUGAUGGAUAUUCUGGUUUUUCACAAAUACCUGUUUCUCAAUCUGAUCAAGAAAAAACCACUUUCACUUGUCCCUUUGGAACUUAUGCUUAUAGACGUAUGCCUUUUGAUUUAUGCAAUGCACCUUCUACCUUUCAAAGAUGUAUGACUGCUAUAUUCUCUGACUUUUGUGAAAAGAUUGUAGAGGUUUUCAUGGAUGACUUCUCUGUUUAUGGGAAGUCUUUUGAUGAUUGUUUAAGCAAUCUUGAUCGAGUUUUGCAGAGAUGCGAGUAAACAAAUCUUGUCCUGAAUUGGGAGAAGUGCCACUUUAUGGUUAAUGAAGGUAUUGUUUUGGGCCAUAAAAUUUCUGAAAGAGGUAUUGAGGUGGACAAAGCUAAGGUUGAUGCAAUUGAGAAAAUGCCAUUUCCUAAAGAUAUCAAAGGUAUUCGUAGUUUCCUAGGUCAUGCUGGUUUCUAUAGAAGAUUUAUCAAAGACUUUUCAAAAAUUUCUAGGCCUAUUACAAAUCUUUCGCAAAAGGAUGUUCCUUUUGUUUUUUAUGAUGAUUGUUUAGAAGCCUUGGAGACACUCAAGAAAGCCUUAAUUUCUGCACCUAUUGUUCAACCACCUGAUUGGAACUUGCCUUUUGAAAUUAUGUGUGAUGCUAGUGAUUAUGCUAUUGGUGUUGUUCUAGGACAAAGAGUUGAUAAGAAACUGAAUGUUAUUCAUUAUGCUAGUAAAACUCUAGACAAUGCACAACAGAAUUAUGCAACUAUUGAAAAAGAAUUCCUAGCAGUGGUGUUUGCUUGUGAUAAAUUUACAUCUUACAUUGUUGACUCUAAAGUUAUUGUUCACACCGGUCAUGCUGCUAUUACAUAUCUUAUGGAAAAGAAAGAUGCUAAACCUAGACUUAUUCGAUGGGUUCUCUUGUUAAAAGAAUUUGAUUUACAUAUUACUGAUAGGAAAGGAGCAGAGAACCCUGUAGCUGAUAACUUGUCGGCUUGAAAAUGUGCUUGAUGACCCACUACCUAUCGAUGAUAGUUUUCCUGAUGAGCAGUUAGCUGCAAUAAAUGUUUCUAAUAACACUCCUUGGUAUGCUGAUUAUGCUAAUUAUAUUGUUGCUAAAUGUUUACCACCUAGCUUUGCAUACCAACAAAAGAAAAAAAUUCUUCUAUGAUUUAAGACAUUACUUUUGGGAUGACCCACAUCUUUAUAAAGAAGGAGUAGAUGUUAUUAUUAGACAUUGUGUACCUGAGCAUGAAUAGGGAUAAAUCCUACGAAAAUGUCACUCCGAAGCUUAUGGAGGGCAUCAUGCUGGAGACAGAACUGCUCAUAAGGUAUUGCAGUCUAGAUUUUAUUGGCCUACUCUCUUCAAGGAUGCCCGUAAGUUCGUCUUAUCUUGUGAUGAAUGCCAAAAAAUAGGUAAUAUCGGUAAGCGUCAAGAAAUGCCUAUGCAUUAUUCACUUGCUGUUGAACCAUUUGAUGUUUGGAGAUUUGAUUACAUGGGACCUUUUCCUUCCUCUAAUGGGUAUACGCAUAUUUUGGUUGUUGUUGAUUAUGUUACUAAAUGGGUAGAAGCUAUUCCAACCAGUAGUACUGAUCACAAAACCUCUAUUAAAAUGCUUAAGGAAGUUAUUUUUCCAAGGUUUGGAGUCCCUAGAUAUUUAAUGACUGAUGGUGGUUCACACUUUAUUCAUGGUGCUUUUCGUAAAAUGCUUGCCAAGUAUGAUGUUAACCAUAGAAUUGCAUCACCUUAUCAUCCUCAGUCUAGUGGUCAAGUUGAACUUAGCAAUAGAGAAAUAAAAUUAAUUUUACAAAAGACUGUCAAUAGGUCCCGGAAUGGUCUAAGAAAUUAGAUGAUGCACUUUGGGCUUCUAGAACAUCAUAUAAAAAUCCUAUGGGUAUGUCUCCUUAUAAAAUGGUUUAUGGAAAAGCUUGUCAUUUGCUUCUUGAGUUAGAACAUAAAGCAUAUUGGGUAGUCAAAGAAUUCAACUAUAAUUUCAAACUUGCCGGUGAAAAGAGGUUAUUUGAUAUUAGCUCAUUAGAUGAAUGGAGAACCCAAGCUUAUGAAAAUGCCAAGUUAUUUAAAGAGAAAGUUAAAAGAUGGCAUGAUAAAAGAAUCCAAAAGCGUGACUUCAAAGUUGGAGACUAUGUUCUUUUGUACAACUUUCGUUUCAGAUUCUUUGCAGGAAAACUCCUCUCCAAAUGGCAAGGACCCUAUGUUAUCGAGGAGGUUUAUCGGUCUAGAGCUUUCAAAAUAAAUAAUGCCGAAGGUACUAACCCAAAGGUUGUCAAUGGGCAACGAAUAAAACAUUAUAUCUCAGGUACGCCCAUUAAUGUUGAAAGUAAUAUUAUCCAAACUAUGACACCGGAAGAGCACAUAACCGAGUCCUUCUGGAACACUCCAAAAUCGUGAAAAUAAGGUGGUACAUGAUACGGUAUGUAAACGGACUCCGAAAAUCUGCAAAAAUAUUUUUUGUCAGUUUUAGAAUAUUUAGAAAAUUAGGAAAAUAAGAAACAAUCAGGAAGCGUACCCUAGUGGGCACAAGACACCAGGGCGCGCCUGCCAGGCGCACCUAGGUGGGUUGUGCCCACCUGGGGCACCUUCCGGACCCCGUUUUUCUUCCGUUUGCUUGUCUCCCAAGAUAAAAAUUCUUUAUAUACCCCCCGAACCUAUUGACCAUCGUAUUGCGGAGAAAUCUUCUGUUUUAUUUUCCUUGAUGUUUUCUGUCAGAUCCCAUCUACCAUGGCCGCUUCAAGCUCCUCCAAGGACAAGUUCUUCAAGAACGUCAUCAACCCAUAUUUGUGGGAGGUGGUGCAGCACCCUCAGGCCAUCGAGAUGCAUGAGGGGGUGCUGCACAUCCGCGAUGUGCAAGGACCCAAGGGGAUGGGAACCAUGGAGGCCAGGCUUGAAGCUAUGGAGCAGGAAGUCUUCCGGUGCAAGGGGAUGGUGGAGCGUGGACUUAAUGCCAAUCACCUAAUGAUUACAGACUUUACCCAUGAUCUCACUGUGGAUGGCAAGCCCAUGAAGGACAUCGUCUUCACCCUCAACGAGGAAAUCAACUUCCUCCAAAGCCAGAUCUAUGAUCUUCAAAACCAAGUCUUUGAAUAUGAGGCGAGGUUUAAAGGUAUGAGUUUAGCUGCCAGAUUCAGGACCCGUGAGACUCAUUCUUCCUCUUACGAUGGUGGACCUCUGCCAUGGAAACCCGAGGACAAGGUCGCAUCUUCUUCAUCACCACCACCUUCUUCUUCAUCACCAAAAGAGAAUUGAGUUUUGGGUAUAUGGGCACUCCCCUUGGCUUUCGCCAAGCUUGGGGGAGGUGCCCCGAUAUCGUAUCAUCCCCACUAUCUUUUGCCUUUACUUAUUUUAGUUUGAUCUUUUUCUUUAGUUGAAUAAAAGUUUAGUUUGAUCCUUUCUUUUCGAGAGCUUGCUUAGUGAUCUAUCCUUGUAAUCGUGUGCGAGAUAUAUAACAAAGUUUAGUUUGAGUUUUUGCUUUCUUUACUUUCUUGUUGCAAUAAAAAGAAAGAAAAUAAAUGAAAAAGAUCAUAUGCUAAUCUUAUGGUAGGUGAUGGCACCACAUAAGGAAAAGUAUAAGUAGGAAAUUUUAUAAGAGAUUGACAAACAUAGCAUUGGUCAAUGAUGCAACUCAUGAAAGAACUAAUAAGGGAAGAGAAGAUUCACAUAUAAAUACACUAUCCUAGAAAUCUUUUGUGAUUGUGAGCCCCCAUCAAAAUAUUAUAUGCCAAAAUUGUUGACGUUGGACAAGGAAGACAACAUAAUAAUUUAUGUUUGUUCAUAUUCACAUAGAAGUUAUAUUGUCAUAGAUCCUUCAACAUGUGGUGCUUGCCCCCUAUCUUUGCUAGCCAAAAAUUCCGCACUAAGUAGAGAUACUACUUAUGCAUCCAAAAACCAUUAAACCCAAAUCUUAUUUUAAAGAGUCCACCAUACCUACCUAGGGAUUGAGCAAGAUCCCUCAAGUAAGUUGUCAUCGGUGCAAUAAGGCAAUAAAAAUUGCUUCUAAAAGUGUGAGAUCAUUUAGUGUAAGAGAAAAUUGAGCGUUGUACGAACUUGUGAUGGUGAAGAAUAAAAGCGACAGACUGCAUAAUAAAGGUUGCUAUCACAAGGGGCAAUACAAAGUGACGUUCUUUCGCACUAAGGGGUUGAGCAUACAAACAAAUAAGCGCAUGACAACCUCUGCUUCCCUCUGUGAAGGGCCUAUCUUUUACUUUUAUGUAUUUACUUUUAUGCAAGAGUCAAAGUUUUUCUCUCUAUUCCUUUUUACUUUUCUCCUUUGGCAAGCAUCAUGUGGUGAGGAAAGAUCUAGGCACAUAUGUCCAGUUGAAUAUGGGUGGCAUGAGUUAUUUUUGUUGACAUCGCCCUUGAGGUGAAUACGUUGGGAGGCGAAACUAUAAGCCCCUAUCUUUCUAUGUGUCCGGUUGAAACGUUUUGCUCAUGUGUAUGCGGUGAGUGUUAGCAAUCAUAGAAGACUAUAUGAUGGUUGAGUAUGUGGACUUGCCUAAAAGGCUCCGAUACGUGACCCUUCCUGAAAAGAUGAUGAAUUGUAGUUGCAAAGUUGACUGAGAACAUAGUUUGUUGGUUUCUAAUAGAGUUUAUGCUUUAUACUUCAGUUGUGUGAUGAACUGUUACUUAUUCAUGAGAAGUUUAUGAUUAAAGUCUUAUGUUUAAAUUUUUUGUUGUUAUAUUAAUAUACAUGAUGCUUCUAUGUCCGUAUUUUAUUUUUAUCGACACCUCUCUCUCUCUCUCUAAGCAUGUGGACAUGUUUUUCGAUUUAGGUUUUCGCUUGAGGACAAGCGAGGUCUAAGCUUGGGGGAGUUGAUACGUCCAUUUUGCAUCAUGUUUUCCUACUGUUAUUUAUGAUGUUUUUAUGCAUAAUAAUGCUUUUUGGAGUAAUUCUAAUCUCUUUUCUCUCAUAAUAUGCAAGGUACACACAAGAGGGAGAAUUCUGGCAGGUGGAAAUCUGGACCUGGAAAAGCUACGCCAGACCACCUAUUCUGCACAACUCCAAACAAGCUGAAACUUCAUGGAGAUUUUUUAUGGAAUAUUUGAAGAAUAUUGGAGCAAAUAACUACCAGAGGGGCCCCACAAGGUGGGCACAACCCACCUGGGCGCGCCAGGCAGCCAUGCGUGCCCUCGUGGGUUGUGCUCACCCAGGCCCACCUCCGAUGCCCAUCUUCUGGUAUAUAAGUCAUUUUGACCUAUAAAAAAUAAGGAGAGGACUUUCGGGAUGGAGCGCCGCCGUCUCGAGGAGGAACUUGGGCAGGAGCACUUUUGCCCUCCGACGGAGCGAUUCCGCCGGGGGAACUUCCCUCCCGGAGGGGGAAAUGAUCGUCAUCAUCAUCACCAACAACUAUCCCAUCUUGGGGAGGGCAAUCUCCAUCAACUUCUUCAACAACACCAUCUCCUCUCAAACCCUAGUUCAUCUUUUGCGUUCAAUCUUUGUACCGGAACUAUAGAUUGGUGCUUGUGGGUGACUAGUAGUGUUGAUUACAUCUUGUAGUUGAUUACUAUAUGGUUUAUUUGGUGGAAGAUUAUAUGUUCAGAUCCAUUAUGCUAUUUAAUACCCCUCUGAUCUUGAGCAUGAUUAUUAUUUGUGAGUAGUUACUUUUGUUCUUGAGGUCAUGGGAGAAAUCAUGUUGCAAGUAAUCAUGUGAAGUUGAUAUGUGUUCGAUAUUUUGAUCGUAUGUAUGGUGUGAUUCCCUUAGUGGUGGCAUGUGAACGUUGACUACAUGACACUUCACCAUAUUUGGGCCUAAGAGAAUGCAUUGUGGAGUAGUUAUUAGAUGAUGGGUUGCGAGAGUGACAAAAGCUUAAACCCUAGUUUAUGCGCUAUUCCGUAAGGGACCGAUUGGAUCCAAAAGUUUAAUGCUAUGGUUAGAAUUUAUUCUUAAUACUUUUCUCGUAGUUGCGGAUGCUUGCGAGGGGGUUAAUCAUAAGUAGGAGGUUUGUUCAAGUAAGAACAUCACCUAAGCACCGGUCCACCCACAUAUCAAAUUAUCAAAGUAGCGAACACAAAUCGAAUCAACAUGGUGAAAGUGACUAGAUGAAAUUCCCGUGUACCCUCAAGAAUGCUUUGCUUAGUAUAAGAGACCGUUUUGGCCUGUCCUUUGCCUCAAAUGGAUUGGGCUACCUUGCUGCACUUUUGUUACUAUCAUCAUUACUUGCUCGUUACAAAUUAUCUUGCUAUCAAACUAUUCUCUUACUUACAAUUUCAGCACUUGCAGACAUUACCUUGCUGAAAAUCACUUGUCAUUUCCUUCUGCUCCUCAUUGGGUUCGACACUCUUACUUAUCGAAAAGAGCUACAAUUGAUCCUCUAUACCUGUGGGUCAUCAGAACGACAUCGUGUUCAAUGGUGUUGCCCCGUCUCUUCCCGCGACAUUACUUAGGAUUAGGGAGGAGGGUGUUCUUUGGGUGAGGGUUGGUCUCAUGAAAGGCAACAUAGUAGGGUUUGAGGUAGAGGAUGGUGGGCCGGAUCGCGAGUAGUAGUAACUAGGUCUUCCGAUGGUGUCGGAGAAUCCUGACAUGUAAUUAUGUGUUGUAAGCGUGGACUUGGGAGUCUUCCCUUUUCUUCUUUAAUGAAUGAUACGCACACUCGUGCGUAUUCGAGGAAAAAAACAACGUAUUUCCCAUCUGCGGCAAUUCGGCUACAUACCAAUAUCACCACCCCCGCAUACAUCAUUGGACUCUCACCAUAUAGUUAGUAUCAAUGCGAGGAAUAAUUAUAUUUCCAUCAAUACCUCAAGCCCCUCAUAGGGGGAGUUGUUCAAGGCAUGUAUGUUGAUAAAAUGAGGACCAUCUACAAGCAUUAGGGGGAGAAUUCAAGUGCCAUACAGAAUGCCAGGAAAUUAGUUGAAUCUCUAACACAUUUGUGCCUCAAAUCAACAUACUGAAAGAUAUGAACACAUGUUCAAAAGAUUUGCAACACGUUGCAAAUAUCCCGCCAAAUUCAUUCAUUGAAAAUAAAGAUGUCACACAAUCCUACAAUCCUACAAAAAUAAGCUCGAAAGAGUGAAGGUACCAACAAAAACCAAACGAGUGGCUGUUCAAAGAAGUAUGUCAGGACAAGAAGGUCAAGACAAAGGUCAGAACAAAGUAUGAAUUCAUAUCUAAGAGAACAUUGGAUCAGUGCUGGAGCUUGAUGAAGAAUGUUGAAGAGGGUCAAGGAGAUUUACGCUUGAACUUUGAGUAUAUUUAAGGUUGACAAUUGAGGAGAUCCUUAUGCAUUUGGGGGGGGGGGGGGCAAUGCCCCCUGCAUACUUAUUAUUCAGUGACAAUUACUAUGCUGUUGUUUCACAACCAACACCUUGUUUUUGCUCCCAACUAUGUCAUGUUGGGUGCUCUGAUUGUUCUUCUAUACUUAUUCGUGUUGUUCCUAAUAGGGAAAGGCCAUGUAAAAGAAUUCAUCCCUAAAAUGGAAGAGCAGAAUAAGCUGAGCACCCUGCCCCCGACCUUUGGUGCCUACUGGCCAUGGCGGUAACGAAAUCCAACGAGUUAGCGUUGUUGUUUGCUUAGGAUGCCUCAAUUGCAGUUAUGUUUGUUGUAAUGUAUUUACAGCGAAAUUUCAGGCUUCAAAGCCUUCAUUCUCUCGAAUUGGUUUAUGAAAUGUCUUCUAAUCAAGUAUGUCCUGACAAAACAAUAUUGUUGGGUCAUCCGCUCUCUAUGUGGUUUGAAGGCAAGACAUUUGAAUCAAAACUGGGGCAGAUUGAUGCACUAAGGACAAGUUAGGAACCACAUUUGUUUCUGCAAGGGUGGUGAGCCAAGCAGUUCAUUGUCCGCUAUCUCCCGGACAAUGGAGCCAUACUUCACAAAUACAUGUUGUUUUGCAUACUUAAUGGUCUUCAAGAUUUACUUUUGACCACUAUUUUUUUUCUACAGCGCGCGUGCGCGCACACACACACACACACACACACACACACACAAUAGCGCUAUUUUUAGCUAUAGUGUAUGGUAUUUAUUCUACACCUCUAGUAAACUUUUGUAUAAAAUGUCCUAAAGUUGUCUAUGAAAAGUAGUAAUUACGGAGUAAAUUGUUUUUGCUAUCCAAGUUGUGUACAAAAUGUUAUCUCUCCAAUGUAGCUAAGUUGUGCAUCUAUUUUAGAACAAUGUAGUAAAACGGUGGCUCAGAUAUUAAAAAGAAGUUAUUCCAAAAUUACUACUUUGUACACAAGUUUUUUUUUUUUUGUAAAAUUUGUACCAGGCAUGUACAACAACUCUAUACUCUCCUCGUCAACUUCCAACAAAAUAUGGUGAAUUCUGCGACUAAAAUGCAUCUAUCCUCCUCGUAUCUGCUGGCAACACCCAAAGGCGGUCCUCUUGCUUCGAAAAUGCCUCGUUGCGGCCCUUAUACGCGUGAAUAUUGUCCACAUAUUGCCCCAAGAGCUAGUUACUCCUAGUGAGAGGGUGCUUGGAUGAUCAACGGCCAAUGCACUCAGAGACUUUAGAUAAGACAUCCAUUUUCUUGAGGUCUGUUAUUCUGCACCUUAGCACUCCUCAAGAAUGUGAAUUUCGCAUUACACCUUCGUUUUCUCACUCGCUGUCAUAUCUCUAACUGUACCUUUACUUGAUAUAUUGCCGCCAAUUUGCACAUGCACGAAACAUAAAAUAACAUUGAGUGAUUGAGAGAAAGCACAUGCGCAAUUUGUGUCACGUUGCAUUUUUAUCCAGAACCUGUCCUCGGCACACAACCGAGCGAACAACGAGCAGACGAACUCAAGUCAUGAUCAGAGCAGGGCGAGUUGGUUGGGGCAGUCCCCUGUACCGUGACUUUACCUUCACACAAGUAUCAUACGGGCCUACGGCUGAGGUUGGUUAGGCCAGGGCCCCCAACAGCACUGGCUUUGCACUGCGCAGCAGCUUCCAUGCAUCCCCAGCCAGGUCGACGUACAGUUCGUGGAGUACUUAAUAACGGAAGGAGGAAGCGUAAAGCCUUUGCCGAUAUUUUACUCAGGGAAAGGUACACACACUAACUCGAUGAUGCCCUCACAGAUCCUGAAACCCAUAAUGGGCUAGUGCAUAAUCACCAACCCUUAACUGUAGCCCAUGGCCCCAUUAUCGCAUGCACGAUGAUCUCAGGCAUAUGUUCAGCUAUCUCCUGAUCACUAGCUCCCACCCAACCCACUGAUAAACCCCAUCAUUCCAAAUCGAGUAUUAUACUAUUAUACUAGCACUAGCUAGUUAAAUUAUAAUUUUACCAAAUGAGAUUAUUGGAUUAAAAAUUGAUGUAAACAAGUUGUGGUUGUGGACAUGGAGAUUUUGGAGGUAGGGGAGCAGGCAGCAAGAUUCCAAUGGAAGAAACCAAAAGGAGGGCAGCAAGUUGGGGCAGGAGAGGAGGCUAACAAGAAGACAGAUCAGAGACGGGUGAGUGAGGACAGGUGCGGGUGCGGCACCAACCAGCAGCAACCGGGGCGCCGGCCCAUCUACCCUAGCCAGUGGCCACGCCGAUGCGGCGCACACGGGCUACUCCUACCUGCAUGGGUACAAAACUGGCAAUUUGUCACGUACCGCGCCAACGCCUCCAUUAAUAGUUGAAGCUCUCCGACGGGUUCCCUCCCACUCCGAGCUCCUCCUACUCGCACCAGCAUCAUCAUCAUCAUCAGUUGGUUAGCUGCGAGCUCCUCAAGAUGCAUGCUACCAGAUAGGUGGCAGUACAGGGCUGGGGAGUGUGCGCGCGUGUGUGUUGGUUUGUCGCCAUGGUUGCGGAGAUGGGAGAAGCAGCACCGGUAGCAAUGGUGGAGGCAGAGGUGGUGCCAGGGGCAGAGGGCAGCCAUGGCGAGGCGCUGAUGGUGCUCGAGACUCUGGCGUCGUCUUCCCUGGCCUGCUCCGUCCCGCAGUUCCCGACCAAGUGGAAUUCCGUCAAGGACAAGCUCCGGCAGCUCUGCUCCGGCCUCAGUUUGCUGCGCAGCAAUGGCGGCGACGGCGAGGAGGAUGAGGAGGAGGUGGAGGGGGGAGAAGGGCAUCACGUGCUGGCUCAGUUCCUGCACUCUGCUUCGGCCACCGUGAGGGGCAUCCUGGAUGUGGCCUCGCAGUGCAGCGACGGCACGUACGGCGGCGGGCGGCUGCGCCUGCGGAGCGACAUGGACGGCCUGACCGCCAAGCUGGAGGCGCACGUGCGGCAGCUCAAGGAGAUGGCCUCCACCGGCGCGUCCAGGUCGCCGUCGCAGGCCAUCGUCGCGGUGCGGCCGGGCGCCGACGCGGGCGUGGGCGAGAAGCGGUUCUUCCUCAAGGACCUCUUCUCCCGGAUCAGGAUCGGCGGGCCGGUGCAGCGGGCGCAGGCGCUGGCCACCAUCGCCGAGCUCAUGUCGGAGGACGAGGCGUGCGUGCGGGUCGUGGCGCUCGACGUCGACGACGGCGUCGCCGUGCUCGCCGGCUUCCUCGAGUCGCGGGACCCGCGCAUCCAGGAGGAGGCCGCGGGCGCCGUGGCCGUCGUGGCGGGCUCCGACUCGUACCGAGGCAUGCUGGUCAAGGCCGGCGUGGUCGCGCCGCUGGUGCAGAUGCUGGAGAACGCGGGCGGCGUGGGCGGCGCCACGGCGCUCGCCAGGGAGCGCGCGGCGCAGGCGCUGCGGGAGCUGACGGAGAACUCGGACAACGUGUGGGCCGUGUGCGCGCACGGCGGCGUCACGACGCUCCUCCACGCCUGCGCCGACGCCGGCAGCGGGGGGCGGCUGCUUAGCUCCUCCUUCGCCGUCCUCCGCAACCUGAGCAGGGUGGAGGAAGUCAAGAUGUUCAUGGUGGAGCAGGGCGUGGUGACCGAGCUGGUGAAGCUCUCGCAGAAGAUGGAGGAGGUGCGCAAGCUGGGCGCCGUGGAGCUGCUGCACGCCAUGGCGCUCGACGACGCCGACGUGAGGGAGGAGGCCAUCGGCAUGGGGGUGAUCCAGUCGCUCCUCCAGCUGAUAUACCCGGACCUCCCCUACUCCUACAAGGCGCGCGAGGUGGCCCUCGCCGCCAUCUGGUUCUUCUGCUUCUCCUCGGCGAGCUCCAUCGACGACCUGACCAGCUCCGACGUGCUGGGCUGGCUGCUCCACUACCUCAACAACGGCGACUACGCCGUGCUCGACUGCACGCUCAAGAUCCUCCGCCACCUCGCGGAGGCCUCGGAGGAGUACAGCCGGAUGAUGGCCCGGGCCGGGUACUUCGCCGCGCUCGCCGGCCUGCUCGCCGCGAAGUCCUUCCGGGUGCGCGAGAUGGCGGCGCAGGUGCUGUCCAGCCUGCUGGCGCUGCACGGGAACCGGGUCAUCUUCAUGCAGGACGGCGACAACCUGGACCGGCUGCUGCAGCUGCUCAACCCGUCCGAGGGCAAGCUGAUGGCCAAGGGGCUCAUCCUCUCCGCCGUCACGUCGCUGGCCGAGACCGGCGCCGGGAGGAAGAAGAUCGUGUCGUCGGAGCACUUCGGGAGCCUCAAGGAGCUCGCCGACUCCGGCGACCCCGACGCCAAGAAGGUCGUCAAGAAGAUCGCCAACAGCAGCAGGCUGCAGUCCAUGUUCAGCAAGAUAUGGAGCGCCUAAGUUAUUCCCUGACACCCAUUUCUUACCCAGAUUCCUUUACUAAACACCCCUUUGAUUUAGCGUUAGUAGUACAUUUGAUUUGAUGUCCAUAGUUUCUGCAUAUCCACAUCCAGCCAUCAUCGUGAUUCCCUUGUGCUGUAGUAUAUUGCAACUUCAGUGAAGUUCAAGUUUUGCCAUCAGUCUUGUUUUGUGAUGAUCAGCCCUUGGAGGUUGUAAAUCAGGUGCUUGUUUCAGACAUCUUGCAAGGCUGAACCGUCAACCCUGACAAGUCCAGCAAAUUACAGUAGCAAAUAUAUCCAAACACACUCCAUUGGUAUCUCACCAGUUUUGUCAAGACUGGCAGAGAGCAAGUGGGGAUUAUGAGCAAGGGGACAAACAACGGAUUAACUACCAACUGCGGUUACUCCAUCACUGCAAAACGCCAGAUAAAUACCAAGACAAGAACAUGUUGUCCUACUAUCCGCCUAGAGAUUCCUUCUUUAUCUUUCCAUCUCAAGUUUAUCAUCCCGUGAUGCAUCAAGAUGUGCACGUGAACCUCUCCAGCAAUGGCCUAUCCAGGCUUCUAGCUGUUUGUAUUUGUGCUCUGUGGCUCAAAUUUAUCCCUAGAGCCAAAGCGAUCGAUGGAUCUUGGUUCACGUGUCUCCAGCAAUGCUGAAUUAGUGAAUUUUCUAGUGGGUUUGGAAUCAUGCUUACUUGGUCCAUCUUUUGUUUGUUGUUGUUAAUGACAACACUUGUCCAUAUUCAUUUGCAGUGAACAUCCAUUUUUACUGUUCUUAUUAUAUUCUCAGCCAUGCCUAUUGCAUAUGCAUGAGCUGCAGCACUGGACGUACUGUAGUACAGAGUCUGAAAAUACAGUAGUAUCUAACAGAGGACAUGUCUGCUGAAACAAUGACUAGGAAAAGGAGAAUAUUUCAGCAAGCAUUCCAAACAACAAAAGAGCAGAAUACCCCCCUGCAAACAACAGGAUUCGUCGAAGGACGCAGAGAGAACGAACAGACUACUUCUCUUCCAAGUUAUUUAUACUUAUAUGCCAUGUUUAAUAAUGCUAAACUUGUCUCAAAUGAUAGGGCGCCCAAUGAAUGGCCUGCAUGCUGUUUUCAAAUGUUUUUGGGCAGAUGCCAAUUAGUAAAUUCAGUAUGACCUCAUUAGUAAUCUCUACAACUCUCACCCCUGCUGCCACAGAAAUAUAUCAAAUUUUUACAUAUCCUAGUUGGAUUUAAUGAGAACACUUGUCCGACUGAAUUGAUGAAUUUGGAUCCAUGCUUACUUGGUCCAUCAUUUUGCUUGUUUUGGGUGACUUGUCCGACUCAGGAACCUCCAUUUACACACUCCUUGUUAUCUUCUCAGCUAUGCUUACUACCCGCGUAAUGUAGCAUACUGAAACUACAGUUUAUACCAGAGCACAUGUCUGCUGAAAUGAAUUUGUAGGAACAAUGGCUAAAUAAGAAAUGCUACCCAUCAGCUAUUUGCAUACCAAUGGAGAAAAAUACUUCAAUUUCAGCAAACCUUUGGACCAGAAGACACUAACUGACAGGUAAACCCAAAGAGCACCCAUAUAAAUGUCUUAACAAACGAAAUGACAGCACUAUGAAUGUAACAGCAGACUAAGUAACACACUGCAAAAAGCCUAACUCAAAUAAAUGCUCAAAUUUAGCAAACACUAUGAUCAAUCAUGAACGGCUCAAAAUCAUACUGGUGCCUCAGCUCAAAGCUUCUGCUGGGUGAGAUCCCUCUCUUUUCAGUUUUAUUUGUUGGAUUUCUCUAAGUGCCUUCACUGGAUGGCAGGGCACCUAAUGGCCAGCAUGAUGUUUUCAAAUGUUUUCGGGCAGAUGCCAAUUGUACGAAACUAAGUUUCAGAAAGACAAAAAAUCAGUAUGAUCCCAUUAGUAAUCAAGGCCACUUUAGUAAUCUACGGAGAUCUAUGACUAUCAAGUUACUCUUCCUACUGCCAAAGAAAUAUGAGUGAACAACAAUUCUGUUUCAGGAAUCAGGACGUGUGCGCAUUAGUUUUCAGAAUGUUGUCAGCCCGCCAUGCAUGCCACUCAUGAAUUAGCUACAUGUAUGCUGUUCCCAACAUGCCUCAUUUUGUUUUAACUAUAAAUAGACAGAUGAUGGUGCCACUAAAAUCUUUCUUCAUCUUUCCCAAUCAAUUUUAGCAUCCCGUGAUGCUUCAAGAUGAGCACGUGGAUCUCCAACAAUGGCUUGUCCAUUUGUUCCCAGCUGUCUGUGCUUUGUGGGUUAAAUUUAUCCCUACAGCCAAAGUUAUCUAUCUAUAGAUGCAUGAGACAAGUGUUCAAUGGGCUGGCAAUGCUGGAUCUGCAGUGAAUAUGGAUUCAAGAUUAGUCAGCCCAUCUCUUGGCUGUUGUUAUAAUGAACACUCUGCUACCCAGACACCUCCAUUUUUACUGUUAUUAUUUUAUCUCAUCAGUUAUAUAUGCCUAUGCAUGAACCAUAGUAGAUGGUACUGAAACCCAGUACACAUGUAUGCAGAAAUGAAAAUUGCUCAAACAAUGGCUGAAUGAAAGAAGAAAUGCUACUCAUCAGCUACGGAAGGAAAACAUUUGGGCAAGCUUUUGAGCAGAAUAUUAUCCUCUUGAAUUUCCAAACAAGAGGUUUCAGUACCGCACCAUGACUCUAAUUGCAUGAAACAGAACACACUGACAGACAGACAGUAAAAAUUAAAGACAAGAGCACGAGAACACAUAUAAAGGUACCUAUAGAUGCAACAAAACAAGUUGAAUGGGCUGGCAAUACUGAAUUCACAGUAAAUUUGGAUUCAAGCUUAGCCAGUUCACCAUAAAUCUGUAUCUUAUUAGCUAUGCCUAUGCAGGAUCUGAAAACCAGAACACAUGUCUGCAGAAGUGAAAAUUGCUGAAACAAUGGCUAAAAUAAGAAAUGCUACUCAUCACCCAUUUGCAUACCAAAGGAAAGCAUUUCAACUUCAGCAAGCUUUCGAGCAGAAUAUUAUCCUCUUGCAUUUCCAACCAAAAGGGUUUCAGUACCACACCAUGACACUACUUACAUAAAACAGAGCACACUGACUGACAGGUAAAACUAAACAAGAGCACCCAUAUAAAGGUCUUCUUCACACUCUAGCAGGGCCUUAACGAAUGAAAUCGGCAAACAAAGCAUGAGAUAGGAAUAUAACAGUAGACGGACUGACUAUGUAACACGCUGCAAAAAGCCUCACCCAAAUGCUCAAGUUAAGCAAGCGCUCCGACCAAUCAUGAAUGGAUCAAAAUCAU